AGGCAUGCCUUGGAGCAGUUGGAUGGUUCAGAUUUUCCUGAGUUCAAAUUGCGUGAUGCAUCAGGUGCUGCUAAGCAUGCGCUAAACAUGGCUAAACUGAAAAGGCAAAGGGCUCAAAGACUGCUCUACAGAGCAGAUUUAGCAAUUCACAAAGCUGUGGUGGCUCUCAUGACAGCUGAGGCAAAAAAAACUGCUUUCGACAGCUCUAAGGUGGUGAUUAGGAUGACCUUCUGGUUGCGACAAGUAAUGAAAUUGCACAGUGCUUUCAGCUUAUAGGCAGAUGUGGAGUUCAUAUUGCUGAAGUUAUUAUGCCAGAAUGGCGCUGAUAUGACUUUUCUCAAUGAUACUCUUGACUUCCUUUAGAAUUGUUUGAGGUAAAUUUGACCCCGUGCAAAGACCAUUUAUGCACACUGAUGGACAAUAUAUCAGCUGGCUUGCCAUCAGCAGAGAACAGCAGCUCUUCGCUUCUGCCUCAAUCGUCAUGCUGCAUUCCCCAACAUACCAGCUUGUUUUAUAAAAUGUAGUCUCGUACAUAACUCGCUAGUCUUUUCACUGAUUAGUUUUCUGAAGAGGGAGAAUUUUCUCAGUUCAGUGGGACAGGUUGGUGUCCGUUCUGCCAUGGGGUUUGUGAAAUUUUGGUGUUGAUCAUUGUACAGAAUUUUUUGCCUUAUAUUUUUUUCUACCUUUGAGCCUGUUGGCCCUUUAACCUUAGUUUUAGUGAUCUUCUUUAGAGGAGCAUUAGACCGACGUAGUAUGAUAUAGCUUUGUACUAACCUGCGAUUGCUGGAUACUGUAAGCAGAGAUCUCUAUCCAUAGGUAAACGGAUGAGGAUAUGCUGUAACUACCAGUGAAUUCUCUUAACAUCAAUGGAGCCUGAAAGAUGUAGAUUCUUGAGAUUCAGGAUGAAGUGUUUGGUUCCAAUGAUCUAUGCUGCUAUUGUGCAUAUUGUAUAUAUUAGUUCUUUGCUUCUCGUCCAUCUUCUUCCUUCAGGGUAUUCUCUUUGAUCCAAGUUUCUUGGUGCUGUUAAUGCAGACAACUAUUGUCUAUUUUUGCUUUUUGUACGGAAGUUGAAUAGCUUUCGUGGCUGUAUCAUCUAGGGCACCUAAUAAUCUCUUUAUUGUUGUGCUGUGAGGUGGUCAACAUUCUUUUGUUCAGUUAGUUUUGAUAGGAAAACUUGGAGAAGCCUAAAGUCUGAUCUUGAUUAGGGUUGGGAAAUGAUCUCACACGUAUUAAUUAGCUGUACAUUAAUAACUCCUCCUAUGUUUUUGUAACGAUCAAUCCCUGUCUUAGCAAGUUAUAUUUCCCUGAUUCCAUUUGGAUGGAGCCCUUUUCUGAAGCUGCAUGUGCUUAAUAAACGUUGUCCAACAUGUGUCUCAUCUCACCUACACAUUUAUCCAAAAAUUAAAGUGUGUAGUCCCAAAUCAAAAUCAAGAUGUGUAAGGUACAGCUGCGCUGCUUCGAAAUGCAAAUCAUGAUACAAAACAUCUUAUCAAGUUUUGGUCGGUAUUUCUAUUUAGACAAGAUUUGACCUACAUUAAACGAUUAAGAAAGCACUCCGGACUCAUGUUUUUUAGUUUGUGUCUAUUAUAUUAGUCGACAUUCUUUUAGUUUGUAUCUAUCGUAUUAGUCAUAUGUCACUUAGAGUAAGAUUUUCUUUUAGAAAAUUUGAUUAACGUAUGAUAAGGGGGAAAAUUUUGAAAUUUUGAGUGCGUUUGGACAGGAGAUUAUUUGGGAUAUAUUUUUUUUUAAAAAAUACUAUAAUACUUUUUUAUGUAAUGUAUGUGAGAUAAAAAGGUGGUUAGAAAAUGUAUUGGGAGAACUGUACAAAUAGUUUUUCACAUAUUGUAAAUGUGAAAAUUUAGUCCCUCAAAUCGAAAAUGAUCACUUUUAGUCCUUAGAAAAUAAAAAAGAAUCAAUUUAAAUCCCUUUUCACUUUUCCGAACGAUUUUUGCUCGGAAUAUCUCAAGCGCACAUCAUUUGCCCAACUUUUAAAGGGUAAAAAGGCCAAACCACUUAUCUGUUGACCAAAAUAUAAAGGACGAAUGGUGGAAUGUUAAGUGAAAACCUCAAUUUUGGUACGAAUUCACCAUUCCAUCUCCAAUUCCUCUCAACCCAAAAGAAACUUACUUAUCACUACCCAACAGUGGACUGAUCUUGAUGAAAAGGAAUGUUAGUGAUUGAAGCGAAGAAGAAAUAGGUUUACCGGAGUGAUGGACGAAGAAGACAUUCAACAGAUCCCAAAUUACAGUAUGUAUUUCUAAACCCUAAACUAUAGAAUUUCUAGAAUGAUGUCAGAUACUAUGUGAAUAGUUUAAAUACAGUUGCAAUAAGCAUGAUUUGUGCAGUUAAGAAGUAUUAUUAUAUUAAUUAGAGUUGCUAGUGGUCAAUUUUAUGCCUUAUAUUGUUGUAAUUACAUGUGGUCCCUUGUAUUGUAUUGUGUUGUCUCUUUACAAAGAUGGGCAGUCGGACCCAAAACAAUAUUUUUUUGUUGUUAACUAUCUCUUAAAUGGUUGGCAGAUGGUAUGAAUCGAUUUUCCAUUAGGGUUCACUAUGGAGGUGAACUCACUGAAUUGCUGAACAAAGAAUACCAUGGGGGUGGUGUAAAAAUUAUUGACUAUUAUAAUUCUGAUAGAUGGUCUAUAGAUACACUUGAUAGAGUUGCAAAAAAAACUAGGGUAUCCUGAGUUUAGUGUAACACACUAUUACUUAAUACCCGAGAAGAACAUGGAGGAUGUGUUAGUAUAUGUGUUAUGUGAAGAUGUUGCUCAGGAUUUGGCUCGAUACGGAGUGAAAUAUGGUGUGGUUGAUGUAUACUUUGUGCACUUAAAAACCUACUUCAUAAGUGAAUGUGAAACUGGACCAUAUAAACCAAAAGAGAGCACUGAUCCUAAUGAAAAUCAAUAGCGAGGUAAGGUUCAUGAAGAAUUUUCUGAUGUAGAAGAAAUAGUGAUGAACAAUACUCUUGUAACUUAAUCCGAAAAUGAGAGUGAAAAGGAUAGUAUGGGUAAAGGCGAGUCAGAAACUAAUAAGCACAUAGAGGAAGCAGUUAUAGGAGAUGAGAACUUGAAAUUUACUGAAAAACUAGGUGAAAUGUUUUCAGAAGUUGAGAGUAGAGUUGCUGAUAAAGGGGAUAAUGGGGCAGAUAUAGGAGGGCGAAAUCAGAAUUUUAGAAAAAAACAAAAUGAGACAAACUCAGAAGUACAGAAUGUAGAAAAAAAUGCACCUGAUAACAGAGCAAAUAUAGGAGGGCAAGAUCAAAAUUUUAGAGAAGAACAAGAUGGGACAAAUUCAGAAGCGCAGAAUGCACGAAAGAAUGCACCUGAUAACAGAGCAGAUGUAGAAGUCUAAUAUGUAAGAAAAAAUGUACCCUCUACUAGCAAAUUACCAAAAGAGAAAUCAUUAAAGAAAAAUUCUCAACAAAUAAAGAGUAGGCUAAAAAAGUUGAGAGAACAAAAAGGAGGCACCUGUUGAGGAAGAUGAGGAAUCUGGUGAUGGUGACAAGUUCAUUGAUAGUGAUUAUGAGUUUAGUGAUGAAGAGAACAUAGUAAAAUCUGUUAAAUAAAGAAAAGGUGAAUGGGAGAAAAUUGUCAAAAAUUGCAAAUCAAGUAAGACUACAAAUGCAACUACAUCUCAAAUGGAGGGUGUUGAGAUAGAAGAAGAUGCCACUGAUUCAGAUGAAUUUGAUAGUUGCUGUGACUCAGAAGAAGAAGAUCAGCUAAGAAAAAGGGCUAAGUUUUCAAAUUUUAACCCUGAAACUGAUAUGGCCGAUUCCAAAUUUCUGGUUGGACAGACUUUUACUUGUAAGCAGUUGUUCAUAAAGGCAUGCAAGAGCCAUGGAGUAGUUCACAGAAAGAAGAUAAAGUUCAGUAAAAAUGAUGGCAGAAGAGUUACGGCUUAUUGCAAGGACUGUAGCUGGAAAGUUUCUACAGCCAUUAUGCCAGACAAGAAGACUUUUCAAGUCAAGAGCAUGCAAGGUGAACACAGUUAUAGGAGGACAUUUGACCACGAACUGGCAAACUCAACCUUUUUGGUUGACAGAUACAAAAAAGAGCUGGCUGCUAUGGCUGACAUGAAGGUGAGUACACACACAAAUAAAGUGAAGACUGACGUUAAUGUCAACAUUUUUAGGUGGUAAGCUUAUAGAACCAAGAAAAAGACAGAGAUUUUAGUUAAUGGUGAACAUAAAACCCAAUACAACAAACUAAGGAACUAUUAUAGGGAAGUAACGAGGGCCAAUCCUGGUUCAAAUGUUUUCAUGACCACUGUUGAAGAUGAUGAAGCGGAAGAAAGGUUUGAGAGGUUGUAUAUUUGUCUUAAUGCAUGCAAGACAGGCUUCUUAAGUAAUUGUAGGCCUGUUGUCGGGUUAGAUGGCUGCCAUCUUAAAAGGCCCCAUAAGAGUGUAUUACUUACAACAGUAGGGAUUGACCCCAAUGAUCAGUUGUACUCUAUUAAGUAUGCUGUGGUGGAAAUAGAAAACAAGCUGACUUGAAAAUGGUUCGUAGGUGACUGAUUCAAGCUAUUGAAGAGUCGCUUCCUGAUAUGGAGCAUAGGAUGUGUGUGAGACACAUGUACAGUAACUUUAAAAAGUUGCAUGGUGGUUUGGCAUUAAAGGAGAGAAUUUGGGCACUUGCAAAAGCUCAUUAUAAAAAUCUGUUCAAAGUUUUGAAGGAAGCUUUGAAAGCAGUUGAUGAGGGUGCAUUUCAGUGGUUGCUUGACAACAUAACACCACAGCAAUGGUCCAGAACUUAUUUUAGAACCUCCCCUAAAUAUGACAUUUUAUUUAACAAUCUAUGUGUGAGUUUCAACUCCAACAUUUUAGAAGCAAGAGAGAGGCCUAACUAGAUAUGUUGGAAACAACACGAUUUUAUUUAAUGGUUAGAAUGGAGAAUAAGAGGGAGUGGAUGAAGAAAUAUACAGGAAAGAUAUGUCCAAAAAUUUUUAAAAAGUUGAAAAAAGUAAAAAGUGCUUCUAGUGCUUGUAUAGCUACACCUUCAGGGGACUAGAAUUAUGAGAUGAGAUGUAUGUAUGGGGAUAUGUACACUAUGAAUUUGAUUAGCAGAACUUGUAGUUGUAGAAGGUGGGAAAUAAAUGGCAUUCCUUGUACUCGUGUAAUGAGUGCUAUUGCUUUGACAAAAGAGCCUUUGGAGAACUUUGUUAAUGAAUGCUACUUAAAAGAGGCUUCUAUGAGAGCAUAUGGGGCCUAUAAUAUAUCCUCUCAAUGGUGAGCAUUUGUGAAAAGAUUUGAAAUAGGGGCUGUCCUACCACCUGAAACUAUCAAGCUUUCUAGCCGGCCUAAGAAGGUAAGAAGAAGAGAACCAGAUAAGCCACCGGCUGCAACAACUUCUCGAGGACAAACAAAGAGACUGUCUAGAGUGGGUCUAACGGAUUAUAAGUGCAAAAAGUGUAAACAAAAGGGCCAUAAUAGUAGGAGUGUCCAAGCAGUUAUGAUCAAGGGAAUGUCCAGCAACAAGCUACUGCGGUUACAAGUAGCUCUUAGCCACAGCAGCAGACUCCUAACACUAUGACUGGUGCAAACAAAUAGUCCCAACCUCAGCAGUCCCAAACUCAGCAGUCCCAACCUCAGUAGUCCCAAACUGAUUACCAGUCUAAAAAUGCUACUCCUAUUGCAAACAAAUAGUCCAAUUUCACACUUGAAGCAGUUUUUGAUGCAAGUGGCUUGGAGACUGAUACAAGUGACCAAAUCUUGUUUGAUCUCAUUAGUCAAAUCCCAUGUUAACCUACAACCAGCAAACCACUACUCUAACAUCAAUAACAAAGAAUGCAACAUCUCCAAUUCAUACUUCUCUAUUUGUUCAUUCUAAUUUUGUUCUAUAGCACGUUGACUUCUUUCUAUACUAUUAUUUACUUGAAUUUCUAGUUACCAAUUGUCAGGGUAAGAAAGUCAAGUACAGAUGUAGUGUAUGUUGGAGAUUUAGACACACUCGAAAUAGUUGUGAUUCAACAUUGGUCUCUCUCUAUAAGAAAUACCCAUGGAAAUCAUCUGGAUUAGCUGUAAGUAAAUUGCUAUUGUCUACUACAUGCAUCAUCUAAAGAAGACUGCAAAGAUAUCUACUUCUAAGAUUGCAAAAAUUGCUAUUGAUUGUAAGUAAUGAGCUCCUCAUUGUUUUAUUUGUAUCAGAGGCCUAAGAAGACUGCAAUGAUAUCUACUUCUAAAAGUGCUGCAAAGAGGGAUGACAAGCUGACCUAGAUGACUAGGGCAUGUUGUUGCAAAAAGGAAUGACUACAAAGAUAACUACUUCUAAAAGUGCUGCAAAUGGUUGCAUUUCACCUUUUUAUCGUAUAUUUGAUUUCAGCAACCUUUUUUUUGGAGCACUGGAAUUGACUUCUUAGUUCAUUGCAUUUUUUUGACAAAAAAACGUAUGGUAAUGAAUUACGUGACUCGGUUAUAUACUAUUUUUUCAUUGCAAUGGAAUGCAUGCCCUUCUUAUUUUUGGAGUUUCAUAAUUGGUUCACUUUCUACUCUUUCUUCACUUAUAAUAUUGUUAUUAUCACCUUCAUUAUCUUUCAAUACAGAACCGUUCUUGGUCAGUUUUUUACAACAUAUUCAAGUUAGACUUUAUUCCAUAUUUGCUGUAAGCUCAUAUUCAAGAAAAAAUCACAAUAUAGCAGAGAGGACUUAAGUUUCAUAAUUGCAUUCCAACUCCCAUUUGUACAAUCAACAGGGCCACUAAACGUAACCCAACCUAAAUACAAGAAAUAAAAGCCACCCAAUUCCCAUUUCACCACUUGCACCAACAAAUGCCAGUUACAAUUCAAUCUUUGCACAACAAUUUUUGCAUUGCGAAUACAAAGGCCACAAACAGCAACAAUUUCAUCAUUUUCUCUUUGCGUUUGUUUCUUCCACCUUUGCCUCCAAUUCUCUUAAUCUCUUCGUCAAUCUUCUUGUGUCUCAUUAAUUUAUCGCACCUCUCGCAACUGUUUGUAUCAUGCUACUUGAAAUAGCCACAGCCGCCACCACUAAUAUGCUGUUCAAAAUUACCUCUUCAAAUUCACAUUUUUGAAAUAAAAAAGCAAUAGAAAUCAGGCACACUUAUUUCGUAGUAAGUGCAACCAUAGAAUCUUUCCUGGAUUUUCAGUUGUCCACGACGUUUUCACCUCGUGGUAUACCGCAUUUACAAGUUGGUGGUUCUGCCAUGGAGAUGAAGCUUAGAUUUUGGGUUUGGUUGAAAUGAAGGAAAAGAAUUUUGGAAACCAUUCGUCCUUACAUUUUGGUCAACAGACAAAUGGUUUGGCCUUUUUACCCUUUAAAAGUUGGGCACGUGAUGUGCACGUGAGAUAUUCCGGGCAAAAUCGUUCGAAAAAGUGAAACGGAUUUAAAUUGAUCAUUUUUUAUUUUCUAAGGACUAAAAGUGAUCAUUUUGAUCUGAGGGACUAAAUUUUUACAUUUGCAAUAUGUGAGACUAUUUGUGCAGUUCUCUCAAAUGUAUUUAUGAUGCAAACAAAUAAAUUUGUACAAAUGGUACACUCCUUCCAUAUGCAAUUCAUGAAACAAAAAAGCUCGCAUAAGUUUUGUUCCUUACAUUUGAGCAAGAGUUUGAUUAUUGUUAUCUCAUUGUCCUUUCCAUAAUCCUUUAUUUUCUUUUUCUUUUGAAAAAGAAGAUAAGUUAUAUUUAUUCCUAUAUUGAACAUUUACCUCAUCUUGAUUAUAGAUGUUGAUUCUUCAUUAAAAAAAAAACUGUAUAUUGCUUAUCUUCAAAAUAUAAAUCAAUAAAUAAAAUCUGUCUAUUGUUGUGUUUACGUAAGAAAUACAGAAAAACAAGAAAAAGCAACGGUCACUAAACCGUCUAAACCGCCAAAAUUCCCUCCUCACCUCUCCUGACUCCCGCUUCUCCUCUCCCUCUUUCAGAGGCACACACCAGCUGAGCAAAGUCCCACAACCAGGGGGGAAAUGCCAUUCGUUAUUUGCCCAAAUUCUUGAAGAAAAUAACCUUCCAUUGUAGAUUCAUCCCAUCAAGAAAGGGUGUCGGUUAAUCUCAGAACACCACAAACACAAGAAGCUCAAAAUGGUAUGCGAAAAGACUUAGCAAAAGAGAAAAAAAAAAAAAGGUAAUUAUGUUUGACUAGGGAUUUGAUAAUUAGAGUCACGGAUCAACGGACAAGAAUCUCAUUAAUUUUCCGCUUGUCAGGUUUUUCCUAUUAUUGCAAGACAUGGGAUAUGCUCAUAGAUGUUGCUGAACACUUCUCUUAGCUGUAGAUUUCGAGAUUGAGAUAUAGAGUUCAAGAAUGUUAAAAGAUUUGUUUUUUUUGUCAUGAUUUUUGUAGAGAAAAAAGAGGAACAGAAGUGGUAAAAGAUGCCAAAGGAAAAGUAAAGGAAGAAGAGAGAAUUGAGAAGAUCAUUCGUGGUCUUCUUAAGCUUCCAGAAAAUAAGAGAUGUAUCAACUGCAACAGUUUGGUAAGCAGUUUUUUUUACCUUGUUGUAUCAUUGUCAUCUUUACCUAUGAUAUGAAGAUCUGAAAAACUGCUAACGGUUUAAGCUUUAUAAGUUAAUAGGGAAUAUUACCUUGCAAAGAAGGUAUAUUAUGAAAGUGACGGUGUCAAAUUGUUGAAUAUGAUUGCAAUGGUUUUACUGGGGAAAAAAAUUUUAAACAGCCCUUCAAGUAUUAAAUCUUUUUGCAAUCUCUCACCUGGCUUCAUCCAUUGUUUUCUGAUGAUGAACUGAUGAUACUAGGAUUUUAGUAAACGUAAACUGUAAAGCCUUCGAUUCUCUCCCCUAAUAAGCUUGUCUAUUCAGGGUCUUUGUACUUAUUGAUUUAGUAGUGAAGAUUCUAAGAUGUUUGCCAAAAGAUAUGUUAAUUCCCUAGGCUGUUACAAGUUUUAAAUAUUUACAAAAUAUGUCCGCUAUGAAGAUUGAAUUUUUAAACCAUCUUUGACUGCUACCUUAUUUUGUGGUCAAAUAAUCAAAGGCAAAGCAGAGAAACUCAAAUAACUCUUCAAGAUCCUAAUGGAUUUUAGGAAAUAAUGCCGGGAUUGUUCUUUUUCCCGAAAAGUAAUGACCGGAUAAGAAGAAAACCACUAUCUUUUAUGAUGUUGUGUGCAUCUAGUUCUAGACUUUCAGUCUGCAUCCUUUCUUUUUUAAUAGAAUCUAAGAGAGUCGAUUGCAGAAGUCUAUAUCUGCACUUCUGUUUCUUUUCUUCGUGGUAGAGGGGCUUUCGAGCUCCUUCAUAGCAGCAGUUUGAUCAUAACUUGGUAAUGAUACAAAUUUCUAUCAAGCAGGGGCCUCAAUAUGUAUGCACAACCUUCUUGACAUUCAUUUGCACAAACUGCAGUGGUGUACAGUAAGUGAAAAUUAUGCCUUUUGCAGUUCUAUUCUGAUAUUUGUUGAAUUUGUGACAUUAGGUGAACUUUCAGAGAUUCAGCAUAAAGUUAAUAAUGUUGUAAACAACAAAAAAGAAAAGGCUAAUUUAAUGAUAUUAUUGAAAUUCAGUCAUAUGAAAAGCGCAGGCUGACUGAUUUUUCUUCAAAACUUUCAGUCGAGAAUUCACACAUCGAGUAAAAUCUGUGUCAAUGGCUAAAUUUUCUGCAGAAGAAGUAGAUGCUCUUCAGGCAGGGGGUAAUGAGGUCUGCUCGCAUAUCAGUUUAAACCUACUUUUGUUUCUUCAGUCGAAAUUAACUGAACUUUAUAUAAUGACUAACCUAAUGGACAAUGUCACAGCGAGCAAGGCAGAUUUAUCUUAAAGAAUGGGAUCCGCAUAGAAAUUAUUUUCCUGACGGGAGGUAAAUCUAUUUGCUUCCACACUAGGAUAGAGGCAUCAUAGGGACUCUUUCUGUCUGAUGAGAUAUUCUUUUUGUUUCCAGUAAUCUUCAUAGACUUCGUGAUUUCAUCAAGCACGUCUACAUAGACAGAAAAUAUGCUGGUGUUAGGCGUAAUGACAAGCUUUCAAUGGUUAAAGCGGUAAGUCUCUCUGAAUGUAUAAUCAUACGGCCAUUAAAUCAUCUUUUAUUAUCUUCAGCAGUUUUAAUAAUCUCACUGUUUAAAAUAUAACUGAUCUGAAUAUGUACUUUGUAGUAGUUAUUUGCUCCUAUUUGUCUUAUCGGCAACCAAAUGCAUUGAGUUUCUGUCAAAAUGAACCUAGGCCAGGUAGAUCUCAACUGACAUGCUUCUGUAUAUGCUAAAGAGUGCAAAGGAGGACCUCCAAGAGCGGCAUUCUUUUGAAACAUCCCGUCGUGGUGCUAGAGAAGAAUUUUUUCAUACGGAUGAUGCUCGGAGAGAUGAUUUCUUUGAGCGGCACUCAUUUGAACAUUCUUUUCUAAGUAGAAACGAUGGCAGAAAUUUGAAAAAUCACAUUGAUCAAGAAAUAGCCCUCGAUACAAACAAGAAAUGCUGAAGUCUGGAAGUCAGAAUAGCCGGGCACCUCGAUUUGAAAUAGUUGAUGAUAGGUUCCGGGAAAAUGGAUAUGGAUCUGUAAGGAAAGUUUUGACUCACAGAUACUCAGAUACAGAGUCCAGGGCUAGAAGCAGCUCACCAAUUUCACAAAAGAGCAGAGAUAUUUCAAAAGAGCCCGCAAAUACGUCCACUAAAUGACAUUUUAGAUUUGACAAAUCUCUCCUCUAAAAUGCUAAAAGUGGAGAAUCUCCUAAAGCAAAUGCUGUUGAUGGCUCUGGCUGUUCAGGUUAGUUAAAUUCCUGAUUCUGGUCAUGCAACAAAUAUUAAAUUCCUUUCACAUUUUAACACGUAUUACUUGCUCCUUGAUGUCAGUGUGGUUGUUGACUAAGCUAUACUUCAUCUGAUGCUUCUUCAGCUGAGAAAGUCAGUGCUGUAAAAGGAUAGUUAUUAAUAUUAAUUUGAACAUUCAUGAUGCUGCACUUUAUCAUGCCUAGGUAAAGAUGGACUUGUAUUUUUUUCUCAAUAACUUUUUUCCUACGGAAACACAACAUCAGCAUCUAUAGAAAUUGAAACAUUGAACUGGAAUGAUUUCUCGCUUCAAAUUUUGAAUUUGGCCAGUGUAUGUACAGCUCCAUGUCAGAUAGAAAAAAUAGUGACAAACAUGAAACACAACUUGCUGAACAUGAAAGGUACAUAGGAUAGACCAUUCUUCUCUUCACUUUUGAAAAGUUUUCAGAAAUCAAACCGCAACAGAUCACUUUUCUUUAUUGAAUUGUAAAAUGCGCAUAGCUUAUUUAUUUAGUUUUUCUGGAAUGGCUCCAUUUUGAUUGCAAGAAAGGACAGAUAUCUCAUCCAAUGACUUUUAAUGUGGCUUAAGGUAUGACUAAAGUGAUGAUUCUUGAGCAACCUCUUGCUUUUGGGAUCCUUGAACACCUUCUCUACACAUGCUCGACUUUUAAUCUUUCAAUAUUCCCAUAACAGACAGCAGGAAGCUACACAAUUCCAGGCUCUGUUGAUAAAAAGGAAGAGGAAAACAAGAAAGUGAAUACUCUUAACAGCUUGAUAGAUUUUGAUGCUAACCUUGAGCCUUCUGCAACAACAGCAGUAGUGCAGACUCAACAAACAGUUCCUGUUGGUGAUGGUAGCAAGAGUGCUGCCAUGUCUUCUGCAAAUGAGAAGGCCUCUAAUGCUCCAAAUGCUAAUUCACUUGAACUGCUAUUGUUUGGACUGGCACAUCCUGCAGGUAGCAUGCCUGAAAUGUCUCCUGGUGGUGACAAUCCAGCUGCUAUUGUAGGUUCAUCUAAUCCUGAUGUGGGUACAGUUACGAACAAUGUUGCAAUUACUACUGCUUCACACAUUGAAAAUGCUGCACCAUGCCCUGGUAAUAGCAGUGACUCUAAGGAUAAGCUUGCUGAUGCCCCAACGCUGCCAGCUUUGCAGCAAAGUGAGCCAUUUGGAGCCCCUCCAGUAAAUAGUAACUUUACUGCUCAGAAGGCUACUGCUUCUCUGAAGCUGCAAACAAUGAGGUAAGAAGUUGAUUUGGCCUCAAGCUGUCCUUAGGAGAUCAUUCGUUCAAGUCUGGUUUAGGUACUCAGAUGCAACAGUUGAACUGCAAAAUUUUGUAUUCUCCUCUGUCUUGCUUUAAUUUGUCCAACCAAGGAGCAGUAGCUGAUUCUACUCUAUGCUGGCCUACAGUCCUUGACUUCAGAACCUGAGCAUGCUAAAGUGCAACCAACCAAUACAUCAUUUGGACAAGCAACACAAGUUGUCCCACAGGCAGCUAAUGAUACUAGUUUGGGAAAUGAAUUACUCAGUGGAAGAAAAGAACUUCCAGCGGUAUGAGCAUAGUGGAACAUUUUUGAUUUUUUAUGCAAUUCUCACUAAUUUCAUCUAAUUAUAGACUGUACCAUGCAGGACCUUUUUACAUCAAGCUAUUCAUCAUUUGCUGCUGCAGUUCCAGGCUGGCAAUCCACUUCCCCUUAUGGAAUGGGAUAUGGCACUCAGUACCAUGUUACUGCAAUGGUAGCAUAACACCCUCUAAAAAUUUAAGAUAACAGCAACUAAACAAAUUACUAGUUCUUUUAAUUAACUCAAUUUUUUUGUUCUCUCUCUCUCUCUGGGUACAGUCCAUGGGAGCUCACCAAGAUUCGGUUAAAUCAAGGAACCCAUUUGAUAUUGGUGAUGAUGGUCCUUAGCUCAAGGCACCAUGGUAGGCACAGAUCAUCUCAUUUAUUUUCUUCCCCUUCCACCCCCCCCCCCCAACAAAAAAACCCCACCAACCUCAUUCCCUUCCAAGGCCAGAAAAGGACCAACAGGCAUUUUAGCAUAUAAUUAAAAUUAUUGUCUAUAAUUUUCUCAGGAAGAUAAAUUUUUGUUUCAAUAUGUACUAGCCAUUCAUGCACACUCUACACGUGUGCCAUUCUAGAAGUUAAUUUAGCACAAGUUAUAAAUGAAGUAAAGUUUAACUUACAACUUUAACAAAGGAGUAGAUUAGGGCAGUUUGUUAUUUUUUUGAGGUUUUAAUGAAAAUGAGAAAAUUGGUAUUGCAACUGGCAACUGCCAGUAGAAUAGGUCAAAUCCUUUUAUAAUUAAGUAUGAUACUCUUUCCUAGCUACCUCUUAUCACAACUCCGUUCUAAAUUGUCACUCCAAAAGAAUAGUGAUUAACAUUUACUGGCUUGACAACCUGUAUCAUGCAUGCCUGCAAAUUUAGUUGAUGUGAGUUCGGAUGAACCUGAGUUGUGGAAAACUCACAGAAAGACACUUGUAGUUUUUUAUCUUCCUCGGUAUAUUCUUGCUUACAUUUGCAUGGUUGUGUUUCAUUUCAGGUUUCUAGAUCAGGCAUUUUUUGAAUUUGCUAACCAUGAAGUAUCACUCUCUUUGUUUAGCUUCCUUCAAUGUCACCUUUGCAAGGACAGAUGCCAAUAUGUCAACUUCGCAAGGGUUACAGCCUCAAGUAGUGCCAUAUUCAUCGGCAACGCAAACACACGGACCUCCUUAUGGAAUUAUGAGGCCUCCAGGUUAUAUGAAAGGAUUCACUUAUCUCUCUUAGAAUAUCUGUUUGUUUGUGUGUUAUUUGUAACAUAUUGUCAUCUUGACCUAUGGCAACACUUUCAGGAAUACAGGCAACAGAUAGCAAAUAAUAUACUUCCUUCCAGGUAAAGUCUUUGCUUUGGCUUCUUAUAACAUCAUAUUAUGGAUAUCUCUACCUGGUUGAACGAGGUAAAGACAAAUAGAGAAAGCCCUUAGGCUCUAUGCUUGCUUGAAUGCGAACUACUCUGUAGUCAAUUGAUCCAAUGGAAAAUAUUAAAAUAAGGACUAAAGUAACAUCUUACUCUGAUGUAUGCAGACCGCAAGGAGCUAAUACCUUCCAUGUCAAUGAUGCUGCCUUUGCCUCUCUUAACCCUAUUAAACAGUCAAGUGGAUGAACGAUGAUACUGCCUUUCUUCUUCUUAACCCCAUUCAACAAUCACAUGGCGUAAACCCCUCAUCAGCUACACCACAAUCCUACUCGUUGACAGGAGGAAAUCCAUUUGGAUAGCUGCAGACAAGUACACAUAGUUGAAUGUAGCACAAUAUGGUUCUCUUCUGAUUUCUGACCCAUUACAUCUGAAAUUUUGGUCGCUCGCUGCUGGAAUGAGCUAAAUUUUAAGUGAGCCAUCUAUGCGUUGUGAAUGUCCUUGUACCUUUAUGGGGAUGCAUAUACAAAGGAGUACUCUCAAGUAUUACUAGAAAUCUGUGUAGUACAUGCUCUCAUGUGCUGUGUAUACAAAUUAGAAGUCAGAAACUUGAAAAUAGUGACAUCUGUAGCUGGGAAUAGGUCCAAAGACCACCAUACUUGCAAAAUUCAAAAAAAAUAUAUAUAUUAUUUGAGAUUAUAGAAAAAGAAAAGAAAGGUAGAGGUAAUGUCUAUUUUAUGUGAAGUCUCAAUUACAUUGUAUUUAUUCACUUGUUCAGUUUAUUGUCUACAAGAAAUUCUUUUAAUACACUGAUUUUUGUAACCUGGCAAAACCAUUACCAUCCUUAUCCCAUUGUCUCGAGUUUUCUGGUCGCUUGAGCUGCUGCCUUAGUUGUCUCAAGGGAAAAUAACAGUUUCAUUCCUGAGCUUUGACCUACGUACAUAUUUCGUUCUCAAUUUUCUGGUACAACACAUUUAGUAAUUGAACUAUCAAUUUUUGAUCAAUUUUAUCCUCAAAUGGGAAAUGAAUGAAUUUGACCGGAAAAUUGAAGUUGGGAAGAAAGGUAUUGGAGUCAAGAGAGUGAAGAUAGUCAUUCUAUUUUGCUGAUUUUAAUCGUACAAAACUUUUUAUUUAAUGGGUCAUGCUCAUCAAAUGUCUAAUUUCUAUUCAAAUUGAUUAAAUUCUUAUUUGAGGAUGAAAUUACUCAAAAUUGAUAGUUUAGCUAUUAAAUAUAUUUUGCCAAAAAUUUGAGAACGAAAUAUGUUCAUGGCCUAAAAUUUGGGGACGGAAACUGGCAUUUCCUGAUGUCUCAAUAUGCCUUUGCGUGCAUAUUUUUUCACCUUCUCUGCAUAUAUAGAUGUCAGGAAAAGAGUCCAAUGAAACAUUGGUCUAACCAAUUCGUUCUUUCACCAAAACAAUCAUGUACACUUCACAAAUUGACGUGCUGGAAGCAAAAAAUAUUUGUUCGGACCAACGCGCAAUGGCACCUUUAGCGUAUUGGGUCACAUCUGCAGAAGUGUAAAGUGUAAACCCGAUCCACCUAAUCUAAGAAAAAAGGUCUGCUAUAAUGUGACAAAUUAAAUACCACUGCUACUUUUGUCUAACCCUCAUUACUGAUGCUGUACCCACAAAAAUCAGCCAAUGAAGUUGGACUGAUCAGUAGGUUUGAAAGGGGCCUAAUGAGGCAUUUAGCAUGGUUAGCAACCAGGAAACGAAGAAAAUUGUUUAUGUUAUGCAUCCAUAACCAACCAAAUUUGGGCAUUCAUAAUGUUAUGACAUAUGAGCUUGAGUGUUGGUACUACAUCAUAUCAUACUAAACUGUUUUCUGUUCAAGACAAAAAUGUCAAAGCUAAAAUAUGUCAUGUGUUGAAAAUAAGGGGUUGAAUCACUCACAACUUAUAUCCAAUAAUGUGGACAUUGGCACAUUGAUAUGGCUUUAAAUCCGACAAACUAACUGUAUUCAGCCUCUGAAAAGUCAAACUAAUUUUGGGUAUUGCUUUCCUACUCAUACUCCCUUAAAUACUUUUGAGCAUAUCAAGUUCUCGACCUUUUCAAUGGAUCCUUGACUUCUUUUUCUGUGUUUUCAACCCAGUGAACUGAAGUGUCAAACUGCUUGAUUUUACUUCAUUUGUCUCUUAUGUUGUGUAUAAUUGCCUUAAAUAUUGCAUUUCAUCAGUUACAAAAGGAUAUUGGCAACAUGUUUUCAUCAAAUCAAUUGCUUUUUAUUUUUAUUGUCUAUGUCUAUACCCUGAAAUCUGCUUUCUUACAAAUUGAAGCACAACCUUAUCAACUCGGCAAUUAAUAAAGAGAGAAGAAAAUGGCAUAGUUGGAAGAUGAUAUGCAUCUCAUUAGUUACCUUCCUAAGCAAUCAGGGUGACAGGUCACGACAAUAGACUGUACAUUUUCAUGCAGGAACCAAUGUCGGCAAAAAUUUAAUGCAGGGAUGGCUCUGGAAAAACGAGUACUGCCAUAAAGGACAGUUACUGUUUCACUGAUAUGAACAUUAUUUGGAGUUGAGAAAUUUUGGUGCAAUGAUUGAUGGCUUAAUGGUGGGGAUGCAAUCAUGUUUCCUCACAAUUCUUCUUCUUCUUGGUUUUUUUUGUUUCAAUUUUUACAGUUCACAUUUAGCAAUGGACGCUACUUUUGGCUUUGAAGCACAGCACAUCUUUGGAACAUCAAUUGAAAAACAACUGAUAUUCUUAGCUCCCUUUAGAUCGGGGUGUUUAUGAAAAAUUUUGCUGUAGAUGCAUAUCUUCUUAGCUCUUAAAAACUACUAUUUCCUACUAGCAAAAAUUGUGAAAGGAAGCAGUGAUUGGUGGACAUAUGUUAUUACUGAUUGCGUGGACAAUUGAACUAUACCUACCUACCUGAUGAAGAAAAGUCUUUGUAACGUACGUCUGAUUGAUACUUAAACAGGAAAUCAUGUUUAGCAUUUAGUAAUUACAACUAACUCUUUGUUUUGUAUGGAUCAGCAAGUGAUAAACCCUCUGGUGCUGAUCAGAGGUGGAAAGUACUACUCCCUCCGUCCCACUUUGAUAGUCUUGUUUUCCUUUUUGAUCUGUCCCAAAUUAUAGUCCACUUUCCAUUAAGAAAGGUAAUGAUCUUUCAAAUUGUCUACAAUACCUUAUUAAAUAUCUUGUUAUUAAUACAUUGUUAUUAAAUACUAACCCAUUACAUUGAAUACAUUGAGCUUUUCCAAUGCACUCUUCGUUAUUAGCAUAAGGGUAUUUUAGGAAAUUAUUAAUCUAAAUUUAUGUUUCCAACCAAAUUAAUUAUACUUUCUUAAUCUGUGUGAAAAAAAAAAUCAAGACUAAUUAAACGGGACGGAGGGAGUAGUAAUUCUUAGGAAAGAAAAGUUAUCUGCACGAACCAUACAUUAAAUACAUUGGACUGAAAAGCGCCAAGUUAGUUGGCCAUUUGACCUAUAGAUAGUCCUUUUUCCCCGAAACAUGUCAGAACACAUCAACUUGCAAGGUGUUUAUUGCACUGUUUCCAAGGAGAGGGAAAAAGAGGUCUGAACUCUGAAAUGGGGAGGAGCAUCAGGGUUUGGGGAUUGAUGAUCACAGUUUAUGUGUCAAUGAUGUUAGCUCAAAAUGCCACAGGACAAAGCACAUAUGCUUGUUGGGGAGGAUGUUACAAUGUGUGCUUUCUGCUUAGUAGCAGACCAAUAGUAGAGAGGUAUCCGUGUUAUUUCAAUUGCCUGGCCAGCUGCUUUCCUCAGUCUGCUCUGGAAAGCCAGCUUUACUAUUGCCAUGUUGGUUGUUCAGCACAACGUUGCCUCCAAAUAAAAGAUGGUAAUAUCAAAUUAAGCACUCUCUGCUCUGUGUGUGUGCGUGUGUGGGUGUAUUUGUGUCUGCCUGAGAGUUUUUCCGUCAAACUUUGAGGAAAAUCAUCUAAGGCUUACUUGCAAUAUUUUGGCUGAAUUCAAGGCAAUUAACAAUGCAAGAAUUGGUGAAGGGUGACCACUCUUUUUCUUUUUCUUUCUUUGCUUUCUAACACGUUUCUUUCUGUCUGUUUGUCUUCAUCGGCAGCUUCUGCAAGGGAGAAAUGCUUUGGGGGCUGUGGAGACGCCUGCAAAACUUAGAACUGUCUUGCAAUUCUGUGGUGCAUCCAACAUGGGGAGUUUGAUCAUACUGCUUUAUGUAAUAAACAAUAAUUUAAUGGUUCUUCUUUAUCUUUUCAUUCACCGAGAAAGGAAUGAACUCCAUCCUUUCAAAAUUGUCCCUCCUUUUGUUCUUCCCCAUUCCUGAUCAAGAAGAAAGUAUAUUUUCCUUUUACUAUUCUUGUUAUGAUUCACAUAGCGCAUCAAGCAAGGUGGAAAUGUUAAACAUUACAAAAAAAAAGGUGUGCAUUAAGAUCACAGAUCUUUUAAUCAGUUCACUAAGGCGAAGCUUGAAAAGCUUUCCAGGAUUUUGCAUUGAGACCUCAAUUAUGGGUUACCAUGAAAGCAAAUUGCAGAAGAAGACUGACCACCAUACAGUUUUCUUAGCCUGAGAAGCAAAUAAACAACAAUUCCACACAGGAAACCUAGUGCUGCACUAGAGCCUACCAGUGAAACAGCAGUGCAAAUCAGCAUGACAAAUGCAUCUUCCUUCGAGUUCAUGUCCCUUGAGCAAAUAGCAAGUUCAAUCCCUGCAAACAAUAACAGAACCCCUAGGACACCAACAGGAAAUUGGUCCAAAAUCUUCACUAGAGAGCUACCUAAAACUAAACCCAAAACCAACUUGGCUAAACCAAGGAGGGCCACACAUCCACCACUCCGCCCACCGAAUUUAUACUGUCCAGCUAGCCCUCCUGCACCGUGGCAGCAUGGCAUGGCUCCAAACCAACAUCCUAUUAAGUUCAUCAUUCCAACAGUAAUUGAAACAGACGUGGCUGAGAUGUCCUUCUCUGGAAAAAGAUCAGUCGACAACUUACAGACAGCAAUCACUGAAUUUAGAAUUGAUAGUGGAAGUUGAGGAAUUGUGCCUUAAUGAAUCCUUCCUUCCAUGCAUGCUUAGACAUUUUCACAACUUCAAUAGGAGAUGGUCCAAAUUUAAAUCCUUUGACUGCUUUAGGCCCUCUAAUAAUUGCCAAAACCACACCUAACAAAAAGAUGAUGAAAGCAGAAGGCAGAGAAGUUAUGAUUUUUUGCAACCUUUUUCUUCUGUUGUUUCCUGAUCCACUGGCAUCAUUGGCACCGCUCUCAGUUUCUGCUGCAUACUCAUUGUCAUCGCCAGCACCGUUGACAACUAUAAUGAAACAAGCACAAAUAAUAGCCAAGAGCAAUCCAUCUAAGCCUAACCAAUGCCUGUCUGAACCAGACUUUGACUUAGAAAAGUUUUGUACUUUUCUUAUGUACUCACUGCAGUCAUAGCAAAUGACAGCCUUUUGCUAGCUGAAUUCCUCUGACGAUUGAAUUGGGAUAAGCUUAUACACAAGUUGCAUCAAACCUGUUACACCAAGAACAAGUAAAAUCCCUGCAGUGCAAAUUCCUGAUGCCAUAACUUCUGGAUAUUAAAAUCUGCAUCAGAUAUGGCCACUGCUGCAAUUGACUUCAUCGGCUGCACUGGCAUGGGGACACCAUAGAUUGCACCUGUGACAAAGUUGUAUACACCAGUGAAUAUCAGUGUGGUACCAAGAUUCAGGUCCUGGCUAGUGCAAAGCCAAAAUUAUAGGAAUGUAAGUGCCCAAAUCCCCAUCGCACCAUUUAACUCAGCCACUUGAUCUGAAAAUUAAGUGUUCUUCACUUUUUCUACAACACUGCUCCUUUGACCUUGAUUUCUGAUUUGAUUAGUGUUUCAGAAGGGUUUUCCAUUGCUAACUCUUUUUUGGUAGUUUAGUGGCUGUGGGUUAUUAGGUAGUUCUUGUUAUUGAAAUGGUGCAAAAAUAUGUAAAGAAUCAGUCAGGAUUUGAUUGGUUGAAGAGAGGUGUAUUUGUGUAUGAUUGCAGGCCUGCAAGACAUGUGAAAGAACAGGUGUCGUUAACUUAAUAAUGCGCCCUUGCAUUGAUGGGAGGUCGUUGGCAAAGGAGAAAUGUCUGCCGCUGAAUUUGGCCCAAGGCAUCAAGCAAGCAAGAAAUGUUGCAGAUAUAUUCUAUUAGAUAUAUUCCCUCAAACGAAUUGACUCUGGGAAGAAUAUGAACGUUGUUGAUGAUUAAGACUGUUUGGCAAGCCUUGACCUCGAGUGAGAUGUGUAAAGAAUCUCAAAAGAUGUGUAUAACCUCACUUAAGAUUUAUGCAACAUAUAAGCCCAAAUCAAUGAAAGGUUCAAUAGACAAAUAAUUGUUGGAGAGAGAAUGUAAUUUGUGGCAAAAAUGCCCCUACUAAUUGUUGCAACUAUUUUUUUGAGAAACUAUUAAAUGAAUUAAAACUUGUCAAACGAAAAGCAAAAUCCUGUAGGUAAAGCUAAAAAAUAUGUAAGAGAUGCAUUAACAAAGUUUAGAUGAUCAGACUGGCCAAGAGCUAAAUUUGCAAAGUAACUCAAAUAAAUAUAACACCCAGAAAAAAAAAACUUAAAAAGUAAAUGACAUAGGACAUUUUUUUAAUAGUACGUAACUACUAUUGAAAAAGUGUUUCAUUUGAAUUUGAAGGAGAAAUUUGCGCCAAUUUCUUAAAGACAAUUGGCCAAUUUUCUAUCCUUUUUUUCUCUAAAUGUAGUCCAAUAGCAAUUUUUUAGGGCAUGUAUAGUUAAUAUCACAAAAUACUAAGGAUACGAUAGUCAUUUCGCCACACCUUAUAUGGUCUCAAUCUUAUAUUAGGAAAGGCACGUGAGAUUUUCAAAAAUUGAAGGAAGGCAAGUGAAAUUGUCAAAAAUUUUAGGGAAGGUUUCUAAAAUUAUUAUCUAUCUCUAAUCUCUUUAUCUUCUUUCACUUUUUAUUUUUAAACAUAGGGGUAGGUUCAUUAUAAAUUUCAAACAUUAUCAUCUGCUCGAGAUUGCAGAGACUUUAGUAAGAUAAAUUUAAGGGCAAAUUACUUGUGACCUUCUUGUAAUUUUACACAAUGUCAGAUGACCUCCCAUAAGAUUUUAAAAUAGUCAUCCAAUCCCUCUGUAAUUUUAUGUAAAGUGCAAAAUGGACGAAAUGCACAAUCAAUUAUGGCGUUUAUAUCAAACGCACUUUAAAAGCGCAUGUGAUAAAAUUUUAAUAUCCAUAUAACUCGUCUAUAAUUUGUAUAAAUAUCUACUUUAUUCCCCUGUGAUUUUUGCAUUUAUCUAGAUAAUCUCCCUUUACUUUUAUACAAAGUGGUUAAGCCGUCGAUUAAUUUAGUAUUUAAGUAAGGAUACUAUUGGUAUUUCAACUAAUGACGUUACAUAGGUUAUUUUCCGUCAAGUUUCCACUUUACAUAAAAUCAUAAGGGGGUAAAUUAAACUUUUAAAAUGUCAAGAAGCCAUAUGGCAAUAGAUGAAACUAUAGGAGAUUAUAUGUAAUUUGCCCUAAAUUUAAACUUUCAUCCAUUACUGAUCGACCACUGGACCUACUUGUUAUCCUGUGUGCCCACAAUAAAAUAACCAUUCUAUCAUAAUUUAUAUGUAUAUUUCUAAUCUAUCUAUCUGUCUACCACUCCGUAAGAGCCAAGAAUUGUGAGGACUCCCAUGUUGACCUACAUUAAUUGCCUUCUACGGAAAAGGUUGUCAAAUAGGGUGACGAAGUUUUGAACUUUUCUAUGAGUUUAAAGAACGAUUAUAAAAGCCUUAAUCACCCGAGCCAGAGACCUCAACUUCCCAUUUUGCAUUUCCCUUAAACUUUAGUCACAAAAAUCCGUGGCCUAUCUUCAUCUUUUCAACAUUUCUCUAAAACCAACCUCCAAAAAUCCUCCAAUCUCAACUUAUCCUCUUAAAUUCCAUCCAAAUUCAAAAAGGAAAAAUCAAUAAAAGAAAGACUAGAAAAAAUGAAAAAAAAAGACAAUAGGAAAAAAGAAGAAUAGAAAUGUAGGUGUUGCCUUUGUCGUUGCUAGAAUCCACCAGUGCCUACCAAACCAUCAUCAAAAUAGCAUUAUAAAGGGUCAAAAGUUAAAUUUUAUAAUAGUUUGAGAGCCAUUGGAGCAUUUUGCCCUCAAAUACUAAUUACAAUUAAACCCAUUAAUCAUGAAAAUGUCAAGAGUUUACCCAACCAAAACUCAGUUAAUUAGGGCAAUAAUCGAAACAUCUUCUCUUAGAGUGUCGCUAUGCAUUAAUACCGCAGACGAUCUGCUAAAAUACCGCAUUCGAAUCCAUAAAUCAUAGCAAGAUUUACCAAUGGACCCUAAACCUAAGUUAACCAAAUAAUAGCUUGCUACUGGCUUUAAAAAUGCACCGCAGCACCAACAAGAUGGCAGACUAUAGACAAAGAUCCUGAUUAAAGUAAAGCACCGAAAAAUUGUAUGAAAAGCAAACUGAUUAAAAGCGAUUAAUCUACUAGCUAGGGUAGGCCUAGCGCCCAAAGAAGUUUUCCUAAAGUCCUUCUCGCUAUUAGAUUCAGGAUUUGUGACAAUUUCUCGAACACCGAUAAUAUCCUGAUUCCCCUAUGGGAAGGAAAGUGAAUUUAAAAUAAAUUUAGAUGGUGCUAUAUCUAAAGAUCCGUUACAUUGCAUCUUUUUCUGAUUAUUACUUGGGUUCCUAAACUUUAAAAUGAGAUACUUUGUAUCUAAAAUAUAAAAUCUGUCACAUGUAAGUAAACUAAACUUAUUGACGGAAGUGUGUAGGGAUGGCAGCAAAGCGAUUUUUGGGUGGGGAAACUUCCCCUGACCCCGACCCUAUUUUACAAAAGUUCUCCUGCGCCCCACCCUGCCGUGCCCCAUCAAUUAUGAUUUUUUACUUGAUUUAACAUUUUAUAUUUAUAUAGAUCUAAUAAUUGUUUGGAUUAGCUGUUUUUGAAAGUAUUUUUGAAAUAUUUUAUUAUAGUAAUGUAGGUGAAAAACUUUUACUUUAAGCGUUUCUAAUGGUGUUUUUGAAAAUAUAUUUUAAGAUUUAAAAUUUUAAUGAAAAAUUUUAUAAAACUUUACCACCAUAGCGACUAGUAUCUGGUCGCGGCCAAAUAAGAGGGUGUGACGACCCCACCUUCCCCUAAGGCGUACCAAAGGGUUCGGCGGACCGCCUGCCCAACUCUCGCCAGGACUCACUCACUCACUCGUAUCACGUGCAUACAUUCAUGGACCAUAGAUAACAUCGCAGUUCAAACUUAUAAUUUACAUUGAUGUAAGAUCAAGGUACAAAUCCUUAAUAUACCCCAAACGGGUUCAAAGUAUAUACAAUCCUAAUACAAACAUUCUAUUCGAGAAAUAGCGCGAGUACAAGUCAAAAGUCAAAAGUUAAACAACUAGACUACGCUAGUCUUUACACGUCUCACGUCUCGCUCGUACCCCUGUAAGGAAAACAAAACUAACGGAGUGAGCCAAAACUCAGUGAAGUUCCAAAUAUCAAAUUGGCCAUAUGAAACAAGGUAAUAACAGUGUAAUAGUGAAAUAGCGAGCAAUCAAGUUCAAUCAAAGAGAUAGUACUUCAAGUAGUCAAGAAAUAUAUGGAUCCUGUUCACACGUAAGGAUACAGUGGCUCAUGUCUCGGCUCCUUCCCAGCUUGAUCAAUUAGUAGUUGACACUCCGUCAACUUUCAAGUAAUAACUAGUCCAGAAAUAAUACCCCACUUCACGCCAGUUUCCGUCCACCAAUCCAACCCCCUUUUCCGGGUCUGCACGUCACACGAAACACGGGUGGUAAUACUCGAGUAUACCGUUUUGUCGAGGAGAUACACUCCACUCGACAUUACUAGUUACUCAGGGUUCAUUAUCUAAUCAACCAGGCCCUUGCCGGCUCGACUCGAUUAACUAGUCUCAGGAUUUUUGGAAUUCCAGACAAGAUGAAAUUUGUAUGCAAGUAUAGCAUUUCAAGUGAAAUCAUGGAACAAUAGCAAAUUUGAUUAGGGCAAGUGCGAUAAAGUACACUCUUGUCCUAAAAUUUCACGUAUAUAACAUGUAACCACAUUGGUCAUGUAUCAAAUACAAGUAUUCAGUGGCAAUUCGAUAUUUGAAAAGCACUCACCAAAACAAGUAUAGUGCUUUUAAUGAUCUCGUCCAGGUGGUACUCCUGGUUUGGAGUCCAAAUCUGCGAUAAAACGUUGCUUAAAAAUUUGGAAAAAUCCAGUAAGAUUCGAAACUUAAACGUUUCGUUCAACAAGAAUCAAGAAAUUGAAAUUCACUUGAAAAAUAGUCGUGAAACGGUUGCUCGCUUUUCAAACUGAAAAGUUUUGUAACAUGUAUACUUGGAAAUAACUUUUGAGUCGAAAGUGCAAGGAAAACGGAUUUACCUUGGUUAUUACCAUUUUUCCUAAGGAUACAAGUUCGGCUAAGUUCUAACGUAUAACCCAAAAGGCCUAGAUGGUUCAAGUGAUAUUCACUUAUCAACUUUACCCAAGUCGCAAGUGUAUUUCUUUAGUUCUCGAGCGUAAAUUUGGGCAGCAUGCCCUUUGUGUUGAGCGUAAAUUUGGGCAGCAUGCCCUUUGUGUUUACCUAAUUUUUCAGCCAUUUUGGCUGCAUUAUCUUUCUCAUUCAAACCCAAAGGUACACACACAAUAAUCUAACUUCAAUAGCCGUCCAAUAGGCUCAAGACAAUACAAAGACAAAAAUUCAAGUUAAUAACAAGUGCGGAAAUGAAACUUAACAAAAGACAGAUUUGACGGGUUUUUCCGGAAAUGACACAACCGAUACUAUGCUUAUCGGAUUGAGAUGCAACCUAUACCAUUUCGAAGCUAAGACGAAGGCCUACAAUUUUCAUGAAGAUCACUUGAUCCAAUUUCCAGUGUAACCAGUCAAAUUCUCAGUUAACCGAACCAGGUUCCAACAAAUCGGCUAAUUAACCGUACUACAUUUAAAUGGUCAUAUCUCAGGCUACCAAAGUCCGUUUAAGGUGUUCUUGAAGGCGUUUAAAAGUAAGACAGAGUACUAAAACUUUCAUGUUUUGGAAAAUGGCUAAAUCAGCAUGGAUCAUAGUGAAUAAACACAAUCAAUUGGAUGAACUGUCCAAAACGGAUGACUGGAAAUAUCCUAAGGUAGCGAGGGUAUUUUGGUCUUUUCAUAGGCUACGUUGCUCCGAUUAAGCUGAAAUUUUGUAGGCACCUAUAAAAUAUCAUUCUCUACAACUUUUGUUUUUUAUUCCAAGCCUAAUUCGGCUUCUAACAUGAUGCAAUAAAACCGGACAGAACUGAACUGAAAUUUUCCAGAAAUCUGGAAAUUUUGGGAUUCAAUGAAACUUUCUUGAUUUCUUGCUCCAAUCAUCACUACAACCACUUAUAUAAGCUUAGAUACAACAUAUCUCAUCCAUAUAGCAAGUAUAGGCAGCAAAUACCUCAAACCCUAACUCCCAUAUGUCACCUUUAAAUCAUCAUAACAACUUGUAUCACUACUAAUCCAACUACCUCAUAAAUUAUACAACAACUUAAACCAAAAAUAAAGAACCAAAGCCAUGGUUUAGCCUUAUACCUCAACAAAUGAAGUUUGCAAGAGUAAUACUUCACCUUCUCUUAGAAUUCUUGUUCCCGUAGCUUCUCAAGCUCACAACUCACUCUUUAAUCGGUUUAGAAUUUUAAAUCCUUACUUGGAUGGCUCAACUCAAGAAGAAGGAAGUUUGUUUCUUGCUCUCUUUCUCUCCUCUCUUGUCUCGGCCAAGCAGCAGAAAAAUGGAGGGAAAUGGAGCAAAAUGAAGGAUAAGAAGGUUGGACUUUUGGCUUGUUUAAGUAGCCAUGGUUGAGUAACACUUGUCACCACUAAUACCAACCAAAAUUUUCUUUUUCUUUCUUGCAUUUUUAGCCCAAAUAUUCGGUCAAAGCUAGCUGGAAAAUGAGAGGAUAUUUUGCUCAAACAUUAAUGAGCUUGUAUGGUAAGAAAGUGGUGGUCAAAUGGUGCGUUCAAUCGGUAGUGCGCGGUACCCGACGGUUUGCGCCGUUUUUCCUUAAAUCGCACGUAUUAGGGUUUUUACUUCCUAUUCACUAACUUUUUAUCAUUGUUUCUAAUCACAUAUUAUUUCUCACCCAAAAGUCACUCUUAAACACCAAAUUUGAUCCUUGCUCCGUACCGGAUAAUUACACUACGGAUACACGUGAAAACCCUAACUUGUUCCAACUUGAAAACGAAAAGUGAAACCCUACUUUCUAGAUUCAUUUGCACUUAAUGUGGAAUGAUUGGGUAGUAGAGUUAUAAUAAAUGAAUAAUUUCCAAAUAAAAGGGCAUUUUUAAGAAAAAUAUAAGGAAUUUGCGAGUCCUCACAACGGGAGGAGAGAAGAGGGGAAGGUGGCAGCAGGUGGUGGUGUGUGAUGAAAGUUGGUGGUGGUGGUGGUGGUGAUAGGUGAAGAAGAAAGGGGGGUUUUAUUUUUUUAAAUAUAUUUGAAAUGUGUCAUUUUUUUUAGUUGUUUUUGGAGUUACUUUUAGAGUUUAUUGCUGUAAACUUGAAAGACAAAAACAGUUUUUUAAAAAACUCUUGAAUCCAAACGGAUUCUCACUUUAUCAUAACAACAUAACAUAUUACUUAAUUUAUAUAAAUAUAUUUAUAUAAUAACAAUAACAUAGCAUUUAUUUCAUAUUAUACUUUUUUUUUUUGUAAGUGGAAGGUCCAACCUUCCCUCCAUAUUAUACAUAUAAAAAUAUACAUAGAUGCUAUACUAUAUUAAAAUUGAGGCCAGGGUGGUAGGGAUAUGUUCCCCCAUCCCAUAUCCCAUUUGCUCCCCAAUCCAAAUCCCCCCUCCCCCAAACACCAUUCCUUCCAGUGGAGUGGGCACCCACCUCAAUCCGUAAAAGUGAGACUGAUUUUAUAAUUUGAGAACUUAAAUGAGAUAGAUUUUAUAAUUUAGAAACUAAAGUGGAACAGAUUGUAUGCUUUAUGAAUUAAAAUGCGACAAAUUUUAUAAUUUAAUGACUAAAGAGUCUCAUUUUAUAGUUUAAAGACCAAAGUAGGAAUUUGAAUAUAGUUAAAAGGUGCAAAGUGGAAUUAACCUUUACAAAUUUGGGAGCAGCGAGCGGGGGGGGUGGUUGUUCGUAAUUACGAGGGUGAGUUUAUUUUCUGGAGUUCAAAGUCUAGAGGUUGUGCAAGCCUUAAUUUGCUGCAAUAGAAACCAUUCAUAUUGUGGCUACGUUCCAGAACAAUUCACUUAUAUUACAAGGUGAUGCACUGGGAAGUAUUCAGUCCUCGGUUGAAGAUAAAGAAAAUUGUUUUGACAUUGGAAACUUGAUUGCAGAUGCUAAAAGGCUGCUCAAACAAGUCAAACAAUGCAAGACUCAGUGGGCUAAGACUUAAAGAGAGAUGCAAAUGGGUAGCAGACAGUUUAAUUUAAUUCGUUCUGCUUCUGAGUUAUCUGAGUCUAUUAAGGGGAACGGCUAUAACAUUCCUCCUUGUAUACAUUCAGCAAUUUGCAGAGAUACUUUGACAUUUAAAUAUUUAGUCCUACUCCAAUGUGGUUUUGGCGACUGUUGUCUUUUGUUUCUCCCAUGCAGAGGAAAGUGUCAUGAGUUUGAAGAAGCAAUUAAUGCUGCUGCAAUUAAUUUUUAGUACAAAAUCUACAUAUUUAUAACAUCUCCAAUGUUACAUGUACAUUAAUUUAGUCCUAAAAACCAUUUGUACAUAUUUCAAAAAAUUAUUCUUAUUGUGACAAUUUUUCAAAUUAGAUUUGCAAUCCUAUAUUAGUCCUAAAAACCUAACUUAACUAAUAAGUCCCUAACUGAACUUUCAACCCUUGAGAAAUUUUAUCCGUACUUACCAUUUGACUAAUGAAAUAUUACCAAUUAGACAUAUAAGGACAUACAAUCUUAUUUGGAUUGUAUUUAAUAUGGAAUUAGUAAGCUCCACAAUCUAAUUUGAAGCUUUUCAUUGUUCAAAGGUCAUUGAUUCAAGAUAAAAUUUCUCCAAUCUCUCCAAUUUUCCUUGUUCUCAUGUAAGCCUCACUUGAAAAAAAAUAAAUUAUAAAGUAUGGAAAACUUUGGUUCGACAUAGUAGCAUGUAAUCAAGAUUCAAGAUUCACCUAUAAAUGACAUGCAAGAAAUUAAUUUCCAUAAAACAAUGAAAAAGAAAUUAUCAUUAUGAGAAAUUCUACAUUGUCAUUGUGGGUAUCAUAUUUUUAGCUCGACAUUUAUAGUUCAUGCUAUUGAACAAUUGGUACCUAUUGUAUCUGACGCUUUCCCUAUCUUCAUAUCCAAGCUUAUGUACAUGUCCAACAAUUUCAGAAAUUAAUUUGAAGUGUGCGAAUUUUACAAACAAACUUUGCAAUCAUAUCUGCUAAUAAAUCUGGACUCAACACAAAGAUAUUCAGAACGACACAAGGGGCACAUAUGACUCUCUUGUAGCCACUUGCGAAUGCAAUCUCCAUGGAAGACAUGAUAGCAAUGCAAACGAGUGACUUCUGAUCCAGAACCAAGUCUUCCAAGCAAAUUGGACAAGACUUGUUUGAACUACAACCCUCUAGCCUCACCACCUCCAGUUUUCUAAUGCAUGAUGGACUUGUUGCUCUAAACCUUGUGCUUCUUUCGUACGUCAAUUCUUCAAUCGUUCGCGGCCUGCUAAUUGCUUCUUUGUAGUCCUUCUCGAAAUUGGGGUCAUUCUUCUUCUUGUCAUCAUACCAAGAAUUCCAUUCCUUGAGCUUGCUAUGUGGGACUUUAACUUCUUUUCUGAUUUCUAAUGUAAAAGGCAGAAUAUUGUAGCUUGCAGGAUUGAUACUGCUUAAUUUUUCCCUCAUCCAACAUGCAAAACCAUAAGCAAAAAUAGCCGUCCUUCGAUAUCUAUGUCGAAUGGAAAUAACGUUUCAUCACUAGUAAGCAUGUAUAUUACUCUUUCUGUGAAGACUGAUUUUGAGGCCAUAUAGUGCAGUGGAAUAUUAAGUUGUUCUGCAUUCAUGCAUUAGAAAUCUUCAUGAAUUUGAAGAGAUUGAAUCAAUUUGAAGUUUUUUAAGAGAUGUGAAUACAAUAAUCAAUUAUUGACCUACAUAAGGGACACAUAUUACUCGUUAGCAACCACCUCGAAAUACAAUCUCUAUGGAAAAUAUGCGAGCAAGGCAGUCGAUUUUCUUGUAUUCCCACCUUCGACUCAUCUAGACAGAUACAACAAUAACUUCUUGAACUCAAACCAUCAUCAAGGGUUACCACCUCUAAUGCUUGAAUUGACGAUUUGGUUGCUCCCCUAGAUAGAAGAGUCGUUUCAUAAAUCAAUUCUUCAUCCGUUCUUGGUCUUCUAAUUGCUUCCUGAAAUUCCUCUCAAAAUUGGGAUCAUUACUUCUCUUAUCCUUAUAAUAAGCAUUCCACUCCUUGAGUUCAUGGUCGGGUAUUGUAACCAUCUUCUCUAUCUCUAACUUGAACGGCAAUUUCUUCUUGCCAGAAUUAUGUGCCUGUUCCUUCAUGCACAGAAGAAAUAGCCAGAUUCUUUCAAGAAAAUCUGAGUUGUCGGUCAAUUUGUCGUCUCUUGUUGCCUCGUUUAACAGCUUUUCUCUCCAGAUCGCUCCAUCGAACUCAAAAGGGAUUUUCAUGUCAUACAGCAUAGAUGAUAUGGUUUCCCUCCCGGACACUGCGGUUACUUCAUGACAGGGUAUACUGAAAUAUUUCUCCAUAUUCAGGCCUUCGAUGCACCUCUCAUUUGUACUGACAUUGUCUGAGAAGAAAAUUACAGAAAGUUUGAUUAGGAUUGCAAAGUGAGGAAAUUCAAGUUUUUGAUCAUCACGUUCAGCCUGCCCUGGUUGUGAUGCUUUCACGGAUAUAACGUACUGAUUGUGAGCGGUCAAUGGUGGCAACCAUAUUGGUGACUCCAUUAUUUAGACCUAUAGAUUAAUUUGCAAGUGAAAAACAAUCACUGGAGGGUUAUGAACAAUUAGGGGCAAAAAAAAAAAGGGAACGCUAGUAUGCAAUUUACUGGAGGCUGGCUGAAAUUAGAUAUAAAAGGGAGUAUAAAAUCUUGAAAUCGUUUUCCAGAUGUGAUUAGGAUUUGAGUUUAUUAAAUGACAGGAAUGGACAUUUCACUUGGGAGACAAAUAGCGUAGGCAGUUCACUUGGGAGACAAGGCUAACCCGUUUCCUUCACUGUCGGCUAUUGUAUUCAAUUUAGGAAGAAAAAAGGGUUAUUAUCUCUUUAUCCCAUUAACGUUUGAUGCUACGAUCAAUUUUCCAUUUAACGUUAUCUUUUAAUCACUUUACCCUUAAGACUGACGGUCUAACUUAACGGAAUUUGUUAAUUAAAGUGAAAAGACAUGUUUAACCUUUAAAAUUAUUAUCACUUUACCCCCAUAAAAUAGUCUCAUUAUCAAUUUACCUCCAAAGUUAUUUUUUGAACAAUUUAUCCUACCAUUAAACCAAUUUAGCAAGUUAAAAAAUUUUAGAAGAAAAUAUCCUCCUCUUUGCAUAAUAAAAAUAAUAAAAAAUUUAAAGUGACUCUUUUCCUUUUUAGUAUAAAGAAAAAAAGUCAAAAUAUUAAUUUCUUUCUUCUUGGCAAUCUUAUUAAUAUUAAAAAAAAAUAAAAAGAUGGAGAGGAGGAAGGGGAGGGGAGGGAGAGAGAGUGAGCUCAAUUCUUUUUUUAAAAAUUACAAAUAAAAAAGAAUUAAAUACUUUUAUUAUUUUAAAAUUAUUUCACUUUUUUGUUUACCACCAAAUUCCAAUCAUAAUCUCGACAACCUUAAAGUAAUACGAUAAUGUUAGACUUUUCUUUAUUUUCUUUUUUUUUUUGUAAAAUCUAAUGUUUUUUGUCUCCUUCUUUCCUAUCUCUUUUUCUUUUCCUAGUAUUAAUAAAUGUGAAAAAAAGAAAUUUGAGAAAAUCCUUUUAUUUUUUAUGUUUUUUGAUCUCUUAAAGUGCAAAAAUGAAGAAAAAUCAUUCCAACUUUUUUAUUUUUAAUUAUAUAAAAAAGGGUAAAUAUAUUUAAAAAUUUUUGACCAUACUAGUUAGACUAACGAUGAGGUAACAUGUCUAGAAAAUAAUGUUAGGAGCUAAAGUGAUUGUAUCACUAUAAUCUAAAUGAAUAAAGUGAUAAUAACAAUGUAGUAAUGCUAUAAAAUAAAAGAGUAAUUUUUGUCUAAAAUUCUUAACAUGUUGAGUUAAAUUACUUAUGGAGGUAAAGUGACUAAAAAAUAACGUUAGAGGAUAAACUGACAGUAGUAAUAUAGUUUAAGGGGUAAAGUGAUAAUAACCCAAAAUUUUUUUUUUUUUUUUGGUCUCUUCAUUUGUUUUUUCGUUUUUAGCAUUAUCUCCAAUCCAGCCGUUAAGUCUAUUCAUUAAGAUGACUUUCCUAUAUUCGUCUACUUUUGAUAUUCUUUUUUGUUUUUUAGGUUCAAGUACAAGUUACUUCCCAUGUGAUUUAAAAAAUUAUACAUAACCCUCUAAUAAUUUGAACUAAAGUGUAAAAAUGAGGAAAAUAAUCAUCUAUAACAUAACCUAGAGAAAUAUCAAGAUUAUCCCUAUUUAAAAACCUAAUAUGGAUGACAAUUUAACCUCUUGUGAUUUUGUGUUUUUAUCACAUAAUCCCCUUAUUUAGUGGUUUACCAUACAACCCUUAUAAUUUUUAAAUUAUAUAUAUAUAUAUAUAUAUUAUAUAUAAUAUUAUAUAUAUAUAUAUAUAUAUAACCACCCAUGUGGUUAUCAAAUAAUUUUUAACUUUACAUAGUGGUAAUUUAUAUAUAUAUAUAUAACCACCCAUGUGGUUAUCAAAUAAUUUUUAACUUUUACAUAGUGGUAAUUUUGACAUUUUUUAGUUGAUUCCAUUAUGGAACGCAAAUUCUAUUACUUUGACACUUUAGUUCAAAUCAUGAGGGAUUAUAUAUAACUUUUGAAGCCAUUAGAGAAUUACAAGGAAAAGUGCUAAACCAUAGGGUUGAGGUUGUAAUUUACACAACGUUUAUAACAACGUUUGUUAUGAUGAUCUUUCAAGUUUAUAACAAAAAGAAGGCUUGUUUAAUUUUGGGGAAACAUUUCAACUUUCUGAAAUAGUUCUUAGAACAGUACUAUUGAGCACGACUCAAGCUUAUUUUUAUUAGUUUUAAUUAACAUUGUUUUGGAUUUUUUACAACACUUUUUUAUCUUCUGAGAGUUUCUGCAAUUUGAAAAAGAAGAAUAAAAUAAAAAAGAGACUAGGGUAACUGAUGGAGAAAUACAAUAACAAGAUUGAAUAUCAAAAAUACCACAAGAGAUGUGACACAUCCCUCAAAACUUAAAACUCUCAUAACAUUUUAUCUAAAAUUUACAACAUUUAGCGAAUAAACGUCCUAAACUGAUGAGCACGUCCUUAUCCUUCUGAAGUAUGCAAAAUAGUGCAUGAACUGAGAAGAUUUCUAUCAGGAACAAAAAAAGAAAAAGCAAAGGCUGGCAAUUUUUUGGUGCAUCUAGGAAGUUUGACCAUAUUCCUCCAUGUAAUAAACAGGCAUUAUUUUCUUAACUAUUUUAGAAACUUGAUUUUAACUUUUGAUUUUUGAAAGGCUUUUGGGCCCAUAAAAGCGGAAAAUCAAAAGCACGUCUUGAUGUCAAUUUUGAUUCUAGCCUACUUUUUCAUGUAAACAAAAUUAUUCUUCUAAUUUUAAUAUAGUUAUUAAACUACCUUCAGAUGACCAUUUAUGUGUCCUUUUUUUUCUCAUUUGCCAUUUAAUCUUCAUAAGAAAAGUUAUUAAUUACAUCAAAAUUAUUUAAUUAGCGCAAAUAUUCAUUGAUAUAGCAUAUAAGUGUAACAUAGUUAUUUUUGUCAAAAUCAACUUUUUAACUUUUUUUGAGAACAUCUAUGCAUUUAUUCAAAUGACUUUUGUGAACAAGAGUUAUUUUGAAAAGAUCUGAUUUUCAAGAAGCAAUUCUACAAAUCAACUUUUACAAAAUUAGAAUCAGUUGAGAACACGCUCAUAAUAGGGUACGAUUUAGCGAUAAAAAUAAACUAAAAAAUGCCUCCAUCUCCUUGAAACAAGGGAUUUUAUGUUUGUGUGUACCGUUUAGGAACGUUGGAAUUUUCAAAUGUGUUUUGUAGGUGGACUCUAAAUAUAAUAAUAUAUGGUUCUUUUUUUCCUUAGUGUGGUAGGAAUAAACUCCAUCCUUAAACAAUUGUCCCUCUUUUGUCUUCAUUUAUUUAUGAAAGGGUUAAAAAAAAAGUCCCCUGUGGUAUAUCUACACAGAAAAGUCCUUCAUGGUUUCAAAACAUAUAAAACGACACUUCAUUUUUGAAUUAAAUUGUUAAACUAACAGAAUUCGUUAAAUUUAAUGGAAUCCGGUAAUUUAAUGGUAAAUUUAACGGAAUCCGGUAAGUUUAACAGCCGAAACCGUUAUUUUCAUUAAGUUUAACAAAUUUCUGUUACUUAUAAUUUAGUUCGAAAUAUGAGGUGUCGUUUUGUAUGUUUUGAAACUACAGGGGACUUUUCUGUGCAUUAGGUAUACUAUAGGGUUUUUUGUUUUUAACCCUUUAUGAAAUUUCUUUUCCUUUGCUAUUCUUGUUCUGGUUCACAUAGAACGUCAAACAAGUAAAAAACGUUAAACUUAUUAUACAAGAGGUGUACAUUAAAAUUACAGAUCUUAUUGCCACCAGAUAAGGGUGGUGUAAGCAUUUAAAAAAAAAAAAAAAAAAGACACAAAGAUCUUAGGCAAAGCUUGGAAAGCUUUCCUGGAUUCAUACAUUGAGACCUCAAUUAUGGGUUACCAUGAAAGCAAAUUGCAGAAGAAGACUGACCACCAUACAGUUUUCUUAGCCUGAGAAGCAAAUAAACAACAAUUCCACACAGGAAACCGAGUGCUGCACUAGAGCCUACCAGUGAAACAGCAGUGCAAAUCAGCAUGACAAAUGCAUCUUCCUUCGAGUUCAUGUCCCUUGAGCAAAUAGCAAGUUCAAUCCCUGCAAACAAUAACAGAACCCCUAGGACACCAACAGGAAAUUGGUCCAAAAUCUUCACUAGAGAGCUACCUAAAACUAAACCCAAAACCAACUUGGCUAAACCAAGGAGGGCCACACAUCCACCACUCCUCCCACCAAAUUUAUACUGUCCAGCUAGCCCUCCUGCACCGUGGCAGCAUGGCAUGGCUCCAAACCAACAUCCUAUUAAGUUCAUCAUUCCAACAGUAAUUGAAACAGACGUGACUGAGGUGUCCUUCUCUGGAAAAAGAUCAUCGACAAUUUACAGACAGCAAUCACUGAAUUUAGAAUUGAUAGUGGAAGUUGAGGAAUUGUGCCCUUAAUGAAUCCUUCCUUCCAUGCAUGCUUGGACAUUUUUCACAACUUCAAUAGGAGAUGGUCCAAAUUUAAAUCCUUUGACUGCUUUAGGCCCUCUACUAAUUGCCAAAACCACACCUAACAAAAAGAUGAUGAAAGCAGAAGGCAGAGAAGUUAUGAUUUUUCUCAACCUUUUUCUUCUGUUGUUUCCUGAUCCACUGGCAUCAUUGGCACCGCUCUCAGUUUCUGCUGCAUACUCGUUGUCAUCGCCAGCACCGUUAACAACUAUAAUGAAACAAGCACAAAUAAUAGCCAAGAGCAAUCCAUCCAAGCCAACCCAAUGCCUGUCUGCACCAGACUUUGAUUUAGAUAAGUUUUGUACUUUUCUUAUGUACUUGACCGCAGUCAUGGCAAAUGAUAAGCCUUGUGCUAGCUGAAUUCCUCUGACAAUUGAAAUUGGAAUAAGCUUAUACACAAGUUGCAUCAAGCCUGUCACACCAAGAACAAGUAAAUCCCUGCAGUGCAAAUCCCUGAUGCCAUAACUUCUGGGAUAUUAAAAUCUGCAUCAGAGAUGGCCACUGCUGCAAUUGACUUCAUCGGCUGCACUGGCAUGGGGACACCAUAGAUUGCACCUGUGACAAAGUUGUAUACACCAGUGAAUAUCAGCGUGGUACCAAGAUUCAGGUCCUUGGCUAGUGUCAAAGCCAAUAUUAUAGGAAUGUAAGUGCCUAGAUCCCCCAUUGCACCAUUUAUCUCCGCCCACUUUGAUCUGAAAAGUAAGUUGUUCUUCACUUUUUGUACAACGUUGAACCUUUGGCCGCGGUUUCUGAUUUGAUUAGUGUUUUCUAAAGGGUUUUCCAUAGCCUAACUCUUUGGUAGUUUGGCGGCUGUGUUUUUUGGAGUUCUUGUUAUUGAAAUAGUGCUAAAAAUAUGUCAAGAAUCAGGCAGGAUUUGAUUGGACUGAACAGAGGUGCAUUUAUGUAUGAUGCAUACCUGCAAGAAAAAUGAAAGAGAGGAUUUUUGGGAUUUUGUUAUUGAAAUAGUGCUAAAAAUAUGUCAAGAAUCGGGCAGGAUUUGAUUGGACUGAAGAGAGGUGCAUUCAUGUAUGAUGCAUACCAAGAAAAAUGAAAGAGAGGAUUUUUGGGAGUUCUUGUUAUUGAAAUAUUGCUAAAAAUAUGUCAAGAAUCGGCAGGAUUUGAUUGGACUGAAGAGAGGUGCAUUCAUGUAUGCACGAGAGGUGCAUUCAUGUAUGAUGCAUACCAAGAAAAAUGAAAGAGAGGAUUUUUGGGAGUUCUUGUUAUUGAAAUACUGCUAAAAAUAUGUCAAGAAUCGGGCAGGAUUUGAUUGGACUGAAGAGAGGUGCAUUUAUGUAUGAUGCAUACCUGCAAGAAAAAUGAAAGAGCAGGCGUCAUUGACUUUAUUAAAAAAAAAAAAAAAAAAAGGUUGUCAUUGACGUAAUAAUGCGGCCCUUGGAUUGAUGGGAGGCCAUUAGCAAUAGAGGAAUGCCUGCCGGUGAAUUUGGCACAAGGCAUCAAGCAAGCAAGGGCCAAGAAGGCUGCUGAUGAUGAUAUAUUCCCCUCAGAGAAUUGACCCUGGAAAGAACAUGGACUGCUAUUGUUAUAAAAACUAUUUGACGAGCCUUAGACAAUUGAUUUUCUGAUUAAUUUUUGUUUGUGAAUAUAGAAUAUAAUAGGUUUCGUCUAAUAAAGACAAAGUAAGAUGAAUAUAGAAUCUCAAACAAUGAUGGAAAUAUUUAUUUAUAAUCUAACAAUGUAUACUUGUAUAGUCCGAGAAUCUAUCUUUAUCUAUAUGUCUGUGCAACACUAAAAAAACUGUGAAGGAGUAUAUGCUUUAUACUAUGCUGUUGAUUCCCACAUAUCUGCCUUUCUUUUUUAUUCUUCUAGCCACACAUUAAUCUACCUUAAUUGCCUUCAUUGGAAAACUAGUAUUUUGACCUGUGCACCAGCACAGUUCUUUUUUAUAUCAGCACAAGUUGUGAAUCAAUGCAAACAUGAAUGAAUAAUUCAAGAAAAAAUAAAACAAUAUUUCUAUAUAUUCAUGUUAGAAAUGUAAUGUAUUGAAGUGUUUAAGUACUCUAUUAUCGAGAAGGUUUUGAUCUAGUGACUAAGGUUGAGAUUUCAAAACGCAAGGGUCUUGAGUUCAAAUCCUCUUUCCCCCUUCCAUCAUUUUAUAUCCCAUCUAUUCCCUGCUACAAUUGACUUCAAAGGUUGCACAGGCAUGGGAAAACCAUAAAUUGCCCAGUGACAAAGUUGUAGACACUGGCAAAGAUUCAGUGUGGUACCAACAUUCAAGGUCCUUGCCUAGUGUCAAAGCCAAAUUAUCUGUGUUUUCAAAUUCGGACCGGACGGCGGUCUGACCGGUUGAACGGGAACCGGUCAAGUGUCAGGUCCGAGUUGGUCAUCAAAACCGGGAGAUUCAAAACCCGGUCAAAAUCCGGAUUUAACCGGUACAGAACCGGAAAAACGUCCACAGAACGAUUUUGUAAAAAUAGUUCAAACUUUUUUAAUAUUAUGUUUUGGCCUAAAUUUGUGAAAACUUAUUAAUAUACCUCAAAUAUUUCAUACUUUAUAAAUAUUGUCCUAAAUUUGAUGUAUAUUUUCAAUUAAAUCCAUAAUUUUAAUUCUAAACUUGUUAAUGUUUAUUAAAUAAUAUAAAUUGUUAUUUGAUUGUUCUAAUUUCUUUGUAUUUUCUUGUUAAAUAUAUUUGAAACAUCAAAUAGAUAUGAAUAUACCUUUAUUAAUAUCAAAUGUUAUUGGAUAUUUUAUAUACAAUAAUUUAAUUUUUAAAUAAUUUUUAUUUAUGACGUCAUCCGGUUCGACCCCUAUCGAUCCCGAUCGAACCCAUUGCCCUGACCUCGGCCGAGUCAAUAUCCGGUCCGGUUCUGAAAACAUAGAAUAUUAUAGCAAUACAGGUGCCCGAAUCCCCGCACAUGGCCCAUUUAGGUCGGCCCAUUUGAUCUGAAAAUUAAGUGCCUGCAGCCCCCAUUGCACCAUUUAACUCGUUUUGUUUGGAUUGCAUUUUUCUCAAAAAAUUUUAUGUUUUGUCGUAAACUCAUUUGCCAAUCACCUUCUUACUUCACAUGUAUCAAGUCGUUACAAUAUAUUUUUCUAUAAAGCUCCGGAAAUAGCAAUCCAAGUUGUUCCUUCACUUUCUGAACAACAUUGACCCUUUGGCGCGGUUGCUGGUUUGAUUAGUGUUUUCCAAAGGUCUUUCCAUAGCCUAACUCUUUUGUAGUCGGUGAAGUGGGUUUUUGGGAAAUCUCUUCCAUUGAGGUAGAGCUAAAAAUAUGCCAAGGAUCAGGAUAUUUAUUAUGCAUGCAAGACUGGUUUUUUUUUUUUUGCUUUUUGUCAAAAGCAGCAUUUUAUUCCAUUUCUAACCUGAUAAAAUGAGGUUGGUUACAAAAAAAGUUACCACUCGAGUUGGCACUUCAAGGAGCUACAUGGGAAAGUCCCUUCCCAUUUAACAUUUUCUAACAAGCCUAACAACAAAACAAACUUUGCUAGUUUAUGCGCACACAUGUUACGAUUCUACGGACAAAAGAACCACUGUACAUUGGUCAAACAAGCCCCUCAUCUUGUAGUACAACUGCAAUUCUGGAUUCCCUGGCAUUUUCCUCCAAUGAGAUCAUGUCACGAUCGUUUUGCAAUCAGAUUGGAAUUCCACUACCCUCCAUUGUGCUUCCGAGCCAUCACCAUUCCUGCUCUGACUGCUACAGCUUCCUCCACUCACCAUUCCCAUUCUGAGUGGUUCGCUUGAGUAUAUCUCGGAUCUUGCCCAUGCCUUCACCUUCAGUAGUCUUCUUUUCCAAACUCUCUAUGCAUGCAAGACUGGUUUACUCAAAAGAAUACGUGCCAUUGAGUUAGCUAAAUGCAGCUCUUGGGAAAAGAAAAGCGUCUGCUGCUGGAUUAGGCGUGAGGCAUCAAGCAAGCCAAAUGUUACUGAUGACGAUCAUAGUUUCUCCUCGAGAGAACUGGCCUUGGAAGAAUAUAAAACUUGUUGGAGAUUGAGAUGGGUAUAGUCUUCAUCAUCUAUAAGAAAGAGUUUGACGGAGUCUAUAUGUUACAUCAAAUUAGUUAUUCGCAUAUUCACUACCUUUGUUUGUAAUUAUAUCAUGUUAAUAACAGUAUAAGGCUUUUUUCUUUUUUUGGUUUUAUUUGAUGACGAUGCAGGAUCAUAGUUAGUAAAUACUCAUAUAAUACACACCGUAAGUAUUAUUCAAAACAUACAUUUUAAAGUUAUAUAAAAAAUAAGAGCGAUCUAUAUCAUAAAAACUAAUAUAUUUUUCAUUUUUUUAGUUUCAUAACUUUCAAAUAUGUUCGUACUAUUCACGAAUAAAAUUUGUAUGCUUAAUUUUACCGAACUCGUAUUUUUGUGACACAUUGAAAACUUUUCAUCGUACUCUUUGAAAAAAUUCAUACAAUUAUUCAAGCAAUUUUUGUGACACAUCCUUCAAACUCUACAAUAGGAUAACUAUCCAUUAAAUUUACCAACACUAGGCAUAUAAAGUUCCUGUCAUACUUCCAAAGGUCAUAAAUCUCAUUCUCCCAAAAUGCAAAACUGGGAAGACAUCUAUCCCCAACACCAAAAAAAAACAAAAGAACAAAAAAAAUAAUGCAACAGCAACUUUUCCUGUGUUCACUCAUCAUCAUCCUCGUCAUCAUCAUCAUUUCCAGCAGCCGAGUUCAAUGCAUUUAACCUCUCUAUCAACUUAGCCUUCUUUCCUCGUAAGUUAGCUUUUUAAGGUUGUACCUGAAAGAAGUAAACCACUCGGUACAUCAGAACAAGGAAUGAAGGAAAUAUACAAGGAUGAAGUGACUCAGCAAGAGUCAAGAUAAUUGGUCUAUUACAACGAAUUCAUGUUCUAAAAAAUUUCACCUCAGUAGGAAACUACCAAGAAAGCAAAUAAGUUGAUUGAAAUGCAUCUAUCUCAUUGAGACCAGACCUUCUAAUAAAACACUUACCUCUUGUGUUCCUUUGGAGGCUCCUUCUCAGAUUUCUUUGCAGAGAAUCAGCACGAAUAGCUGCAUGGACUUUUUUGUACAACUCCUCGAUAUUAUCUGCCUCCAACCCCUUUUUAUGUACUCACUAAAAUGAGACUGAUACCUCUCUGGUUCAUCUUCAAUCAAUGUCUGCACAUUCAGAAAAAGCAACAUAGCAUCUCCAGACAGAGAACUAAAAAGAAACUGCCAAAACAGAAAUGAUGUCCAUCCACACUUAUACUCUCAUGUAAGCCGCAACAUGCCCGCCAUAGAUGUACUUGCGGUGAACCUCAGGGUCAAGUUGUUUAGACUCCUUGUCAAAUCCAGCAAACCUCUUUUCACCAUGGUAUGUCAAGCCCACCAUCCAAUGCCCCCUAAAACCAAGCACAAAAUAAUGUCACAUGGGACAAAAUUUGGACUGUGUUUGCAAACAUAACUUGAACUAGUAUCAAACUCUCCCUAAAAGUUGGCCAGAGAGUUUCUAUGUCCAAAGAUAGUUUGGAUAUUGGCUACAUUUGUAAUUUUAAAACCUUCAUCACCAUUGCUAUUCCUCAAACAUCAAGACAUGAUUUUGAACAUUAAAUACAGUUCUGAGAGCCAAGCAGGUCUUAAUUUUAGAUUACCACGACUUCAACCAUAGGAUCUUGUCAAUUCCCCAAUCCAAAGCUUCUUGAAACAUGCAAUACAUGUAUCAUGCUUUGAUACAUCAGCACAAGAUAUAGUAUAAUGUUGACACAAAUUUAAUACUGAACAAACAUAACAAAUUAUCAACCAUUGUUCACAGUGGACUCGUCGCAACAGAAUGUCAAUAAUGAGUUGUUCAGACUUAAAGACCAACACCAUUACUCUCACCACAUGCCGUUAGGAAUAUUCAUUCAGAUUUCAGAGUAUUCUACAACUUUUCCACAUCUCUUUGACUAAAAGGGUACAUAUCACUCAACAUAUAUUAUACUGGUCAAAUCAGUUCGCCACCAAGCAUAUCAAAAUUGAAAGGCGGCAAAAUUUUUUCAAGUUAAUAGACCCACAUUUCGUCAUAGCAUGAAAGACCAUGAAUAAGAGUCUAACCUUGAGUGCACCAAAACACGGUUGCCUGUGGUGGUCCGUACAAGACCAACAUCCAGAAGAGCACGGAAAGGCCUUCUGCUAUCAGCUGGUUCAACAGAGUAAUCUUCACCAGUAGCCUGUCAGUAUAAUAGCUCAAUAAAUAAUUGCUCCAGAUCACUGGAAUAUGACACCCCCUUUUUCCCCCUCUCAAGAGAAGUGCAAGAGAAGAUCAUAUAUACAUUAAGAGGCAUACACUCUGGUUACCUCAACAUUUCCUUCAACUCCUCAUCCAUUUGAAGCUCUUUGAGAACUCGACGAGCCAGUAGAAACCAGUACAGUAAGCUGAGAUACCACUUCUCACAGUCAGAAGACGUGCAUCUAAAAAUUUGCCCAAAAAUCCAACUUAAAAAUCCUAAUCAGUCAAGUAGGUACCAGCAGCAUAAUUUGUCAGUCCAAUUUCAAGGCCGUAACGCGGCAAUUCAUGUGCAUAAGCAGAUGCAAGCACAAUGUCGCCUGCAAUGCUAGCAGAAACAAUUUGUGCAACAAUGCCUUUGUUGCUACAGCCAGUGUCAAGGUAGUAUAUCGGUCCACAAAAAACAUAAUGAGGUUCUAUGCUACACAGUAAUCAACUAUCUUCCAACUAGACAUCACCAGUUCAGUCAGUCAGUCAGUCAUGUGGCACACAUAAAAUAACCAAUGGCAUUCAUGCACCAGACAGAGAGAUUCAGACAUCAAUACUACAUCACAUACCUACCAACUACCAAUAACUGAGAACCCAACUAAGAGGGAAAAAACAGCAAGAAAAAGGUAACAGGGAGAAAAUAAAAGCAACCAAAAAACACAGGACACACAAGCGGAAAGAAUCCAUGCCCAUGCAGGAAAAAGCAGAGAAAACCAAAAAUAACCCCAGCAAUAAGAUAAGAAAUGACGCCAAAAUUCCUGUGAAAAAAACUUGGAAAAAGAUGACAGAGUAGGAUACAAAUCUCACAACAAACCGAUACUUUGGGGUAUUAUACUUGUUUUUGUCCUGAUUGAUCAACCGAACUCUAGCUCGAUAGUCUGUCUUCCCCUCUACAUAAUGUAGACAAAAAUCAAAAUUAAUAGCAUUCAGUGCCACAUAAUAUCCUCAGCAUGAAAGCAAACACAGAGGCAAACCAAAACCCCCAUACCUCUCCUCCUUUUGAAUUGGACUUGAUACCGCUUAAAGUAAGUGCUUUUGUUUUCUGGCUUUAACGAAUGCCUGAAAGUAAUAUUAUGUUAUCUGAUUGAAUCAAAAAACUUAAAAGCUACCAAACACACGCAACACACACAGACGCAGAAACUAGCAAAAGCUAAUAAUGAUGUAAAAGUUGAACCCAAAAAGAGAAAUUACGCAUCAAUCAUCAAUCAGUUAAAAAUAAUCAUAUCAUGCCCAGUUCUAGUGAAUCAACAGCUCAAGAACUUCAAAGUUCAAACAACAACAUUACCACAUAUCAUAAUAAACACAUUCCCGGGCUUGUCAAAUGAAGCAACAUUUCUAUUCUGAAAACAAUUCCAGUUCUGAUUCAGAACCAAAUGCAGCCUAUGCACAUUCACAUUCAUGUCCAAACCCAAAAAACUACCUCUAAUUUUAAAUCUUUUACUCGAUUAACUGAUAAAUUUAAUUGAUAUCUUUUAGUAGAUUAACUUAACCAGCAGCAUUUGGGAACCUAAAGUCCUCAAUUUGACUAGAUUGAACCAUACCAUUCAAUUAACCUAUGGAAACCCCAAAAAACAUGCAACAGAAUAAACAAAAUAACAAAGCAAAAUCUUCCACAAAAGCAAUCGACUCACUCCUGAAAACUCGUAACAUUUCCUAAUACAAUUCUCCUAGGCAUUUCACAGUUUUACUCCGCAUUUAUCACCGAGCAAAUGCAGAAAACUUAAAAUAAAACAUCAGAUCAAAUCCAUAUCCAGGUAAAACGAAAUAAAUUACUGUAAAAUUUUUAACAGCUUGAAGCAGCAAUGUAGGUUUAGUUUUCUCUUUUAUACCAUUGCGGUUCCUCAAAUUGCUUCCUUCCGCCGACAGCUGCCGCUUGCCGCCGAAAUUUGUCGGGUGGGAGAGGGCGGGUUUAGGAAGCUGAAGAAGAGCAUCCAUCUCCAGAGAAGCCGCUUAUAUAUCAGAACUAAAACCCUAGUGCUCUCAAGCUAAGCUUUACUACUGGGCUAUUAUCAUUCGAAACUUUGGCCCAAACUAAAAUUAACGAAGGCUGGAGUUGGGUCAGCACAUAGGAGAUUUUCUCGGCCCAUUUUAUUUUGUUAUUUGCAUUUUUGUUGAGGAAAAAAAUUCACUUUUCGUCCUUAUAUUCUCAGCUAAAGACACAUUUCAUUCCCAAAUUUUUCGACAAAACACAUUUAGUACAUAAAUUAACAAUUUCUGACCACAUUUAGUCCAAAAAUAAUAAAUUGCUCAAUUUGAAUGGAGAAGGCCACGUGGCCGUUAACAAAAACCCAAAUAUCGGCCAAAACCAACGAAACAAAUCUAUCAUUUUUACUCUCUCUUACCUUCGUCGAUUUCCUUCUCCAAAUUCCCCUUUUCACACCGAUCCAAAUCCACAAUCAACAGAGUGGAGGUUUCUGAUUUGUGAUUGAAAGCCACCGAAUGUGGAGAAAAUAUCGGUUCAGAAGAAAGAAUUCAACAAUCAUGCACCCCCUAAAUUAUAGUAAUAUUUCUAGGGUUUUGAUUUGUUAGAUAAAGAGUUAAAUGUAAAAGUUUUUAACUUUUGUGAGUAUAAUAUUUAGAUGUGGUUCCCGAGGUUUGCACUGUAGGUAUUCUCGUUACUUUGAGUUGUAUUGGGUUGAAAAGAUUAAUUAUUAUUAACCUGAUUGUCGAAGCAUAAAUGUUUGAAUAAUAUGCAUGUGGUCCUUAUUUGUGAUUAUGAUUUUAAGAUGGGUCCAUGAUGUAUGCAUUAUUCAGUGCAUUGUUGUUAAUGUAGGCCCUAUUAAUUAUUGAAUGAUUGAUAUGUGCAUUUUUUUUUACCAGAACAAGGUAGUACACUUAUAACUCUAAGAUGUCACCAUGGAGAGUUGAUUUCAUACACUCCUCAUCCGCAUUAUGAGAGAUGGAGAUGCAUGUGUCAUUGACUAUGUUUAAAGCAUAGGUUCAAAUGUUUUUGAAAUAGAUAGAUUGACUGAAAAUACUGAUUUGUAUAGACACAAAGUAUAUUAUGGUUGGGAAAACAAGAACUUUAUAAGGAUAGAAACAAGUAGAGAAUUGCGUGGAUAUAUUAAGAGGAAUGGUGGUUUAAAUAGGAAAAUUAUUUUGUAUGUUGAGGUAUCAUUCCAUGAAAUCUUUAUUCAACAGCUAGGCUAUGAUCUGUUUCAGAUUGGUGAGAAUGAAGGAACUGAUGGCAAUGACAAUUUUAAUACACCUAAUGCUGACCAUAGAGGGGGAGGAAAAGACAAUGAGGCCAAUGGGAACAAUAAUAAUGAUUCUGAUUCAGGGAGUGAAUCCUUUUUUUAGUAGUGGACCCUGAUUAUAAUAUGACUGAUAGUGAUAAUAAUGAGUUCCAUGACAAUGUAGAUAAAAAUGCUGAAUGGUUACGUGUAAAACACCAUAAGAAUUUUUGAAAAACAAGCCAACUGAAAUUGAAAGAGAUGACAAUUUGGAGCUGCUAGAGGACAAUGAUGUUGCCCCAUCUUCUGAAUCUGAUUUUGAAACUGUGAAUAAACAUGAUGAUGAAAAAAUCAAUGGUGAAUGUACAAUCUUCAACCCCAAAGAUAUUGACAAUCCAAAAUUAGAGUUAAAAAUAUUGUUCAAUAGUAUAAAAGAGUGCAAGUUGGUUGUGAAAAAUUAUAGUAUAAGACAGAGCAAGCCAUGUUCAUUUAUAAAGUAGGACAAAAUCAAAUUGAGGGCAAAGUGUAGAAGUGAAGGGUGUGAUUGGCUUAUUUAUGCUAGAAAAUUGAGUGGGAAAGUAGUGUGCAAAUCAAGACAUUUGAGGACAUCCACAAAUGUGAUUUUACCUAUGACAAUUCACUUGUAAAUUAUGGAUGGGCUGGUAGAAAGUAUAUUGGGGAGUUUAGGACUAAUCAUAAGGUAGAUAUGGAGCACUUUAGAAUAACUGUAAUGAAGGAUAAUAAGUGCUCUUUCUCCAAAAAACAAACAUACAGGUCCAAGAGAAAGGUUAUGAAGAUUAUUCAUAGGAGUGAAACUCACCAAUAUAAUAAGCUAGGAGCAUGCAUGCAUGAAAUUCAGAAAUCCAACCCUAGUAGCUCCAUUAUAUUGAAAACUUGUGGAUAGAUCUAUAAGUACACCAACACAGCAGCAAAGAUUCCAAAGGCUGUACAUGUGUUUUAAUGGAGUGAAACAAGGUUUCUUAGUUGGAUGCAGACCUUUGAUUGGAGUAGAUGGUUCUUGAAAGGGUUAGUUAGGGGAGUUCUAUUGAUAGAUGUUGGAUUAGAUGCCAAUAAUAACAUUUAUCCAAAUGCAUAUGCUGUAACAAAGGGAGAAAAUAAGGAAUCUUGGGCAUAGUUCUUCAAGUUACUCAAAAAAGACUUGAAAAUUGAAUGGGAUUAUGAGUGGACUAUCAUAAGUGACAAGCAAAAGGGACUGAUUCAGGCAUGUGACAGUGUUUUUCCAAAUGCAGCUCAUAGGUUUUGUAUGAAACACAUGCAUGGCAACUUUUCAUCUACUGGAUUCAAAGGAGCAGCUCUGAGAAAAGUCUUAUGGGCUGCUGCAAAGACAACUACUCCAGCAAAAUUUCCUAGCAGAAUGGAAGAAAUGACAACAAUUGACAUACAUGCAGUCAAGGAAUUUGAGGGUGAAUUCUUAGUUUAUGAUAGAAAAAAAAAAAGAAUUCUACAACGAGAGCGAUUCUUGGAGUGUGUUCUGCAAAUAGGAGUCUUCGCAUUCCCGAAUGCGAGCUCGUGAGCUCGCAUUCCGCAAAUGCGAGCUCGAAUUGGAGCUCGCAUUCCCGGAAUGCGAGCUCACUGAGAGCCAAGACAAGGAGGAAAUCAUGCAAAUAUUGAAAAUACUUCAUGCAAGAUGGUUCGGCAGCAGGCUCGCGGCACAGCCUUUAUGGUGUCUGAUGUAGUUUCCUUUCAUCUGACUGCAACUAAUGACUUGAACAGUCAACACUUAGACUAUAGUAAUAAAAAUUCUAAACAUUUUCCAUCUUUUAGCCGCAAAAAUCCUUAUAUUUAAGCACAAAACAAAUUAGAUGAAAGGAUCAUGCGAGCAUCAAAGAACAGUUUUUUCUUCAACAACAAUGCUUCUGCAAAUUUUGAUGCAGAAAAUCAUGCAAAGCUUCAAACAAAACUAGUGAACCUAUCACCCCAAAUACCCCUUAACACUGAACACUUCAAAUGAAACCAGGGUUAUUGAUUAUAAACACAAAUCUCAGCAGAUCAGAACUUGCGGCCAAACAAAGACAACCAAACAGCAACUAAAGUAGAUAAAGUUUCAAAGCCGCAAGUCUGAACCAGCAAACUAGGAGUUCAUGCAAAGAAAUAUUAAAUUAGAGCUCGCAUUUGCGGAAUGCGAGCUCAAUAAGUAGAGCUCGCAUUUCACGAAUGCGAGACCCCGGACGGAAUUCAUUACCAAAAUCACCCCUUUUGUAGAAUUUUUUUAAAAUUUAUCACAAAAUUAGAAAUUUCUCGGGUUUGAUGAUAAACCUCCAGCUCAUUGGAGUAGAGUCUACUUUAGCACUUAUCCAAAAUGUGAUAUCUUGUUGAAUAAUGUGUGUGAGUGUUUCAAUAGCAAAAUAGUAUAUGCUAGGGAGAAGCCAAUCAUUGAAAUGUUGGAAUUGUCAAAAUUGUAUAUGAUGCAAAGAUUGCAGCAAAAUAGGGACUUGACUCAAUAGAAGUGGAAAAAUUAUAUGUACUAUCCUAAGAUUGUUGAGAGAAUAGAAAAAAAAAUGGAAAAAAUCGUGUUUUCCUUUCAAAUCAAAUAAGGACUUGUAUGAGAUUUCUUUCCCAUAUAGUGAUCAUUAUGUAGUGAACAUCAAAGACCAUACCUAUUCAUGUAGAAGAUGGGAAUUGACAGGAAUUCCUUGUCCCCAUUAUAUUUCUGCACUAUGGAUAGCAAAAAACGAUUCAAUAUUGUAUGUAGCCAACUGGUAUACAGUGGAGAAGUACUUGAAAUGCUAUGACGGCUGUGUGUCCAAUGAAUAGGGAAAGAAAUUGGGAGAACAUUGAACUUAAAGGUCCAAAACCAUCUCUGUACAGUAAACCAGCUGGAAGACCAAAGAAAUAAAAGAGAAAGAGUAUGGAUGAGGUUGAGCAAGCAAAAAAAAAAAAAAAAAAAGCAGAGUUGGAUAGGUGAUAAGAUGCAAAUAUUGUCUGCAAAGAGGUCAGAAUAUGAGAUCUUGCAAGCUUAGAAAGGAUGAGCAACAUGCAGUAUCUACUGAAGCAGUCUAUGCGGCCUCCCAAGUUCCUCAAAAUACCACUACAAAUAUUGAAGACAUCUCUGUAGACUGCAAUGAAGCUGAAGCUGAAACUGAAGAGCUAGUUACAUGUACACCUUAAAUUUUGGCAAGAAUUCAGUUGAUAAGACAACUCCAGUGCCUAUAAAUAUUGUAUUUGUCUCACUUUUUUUCUGUUACUUCAAACAUUCUUCAACAUACUGUACGUUUAUGUUAUUGUUUUUGCAGAAAAGAAAGAAACCAAAAAAAGAGAAUGCAACUAGACCAACAAAAAUAGUUGUUGAUGUUGGUGUCAAAGAGUCUAUCCCAUCUUCACCUAAUUUGUAUGAAGUUUUUGGUCUAAAAAGGUCUCAAGUGAAGUAUACCCAACCGUUACAUCCAAAAAGAAGACAACGAUAAGGUGCCUCUCAAAGUAGGACUGAACAUAUAGACAUGGCUGCUACCAAACAAAGUGUUGCUGCUUUCUCUAGGUUGAAGGAAAAAAAAGAAACAGCUAUAAAUAUGCACAUGAUGGCAGUCUUUUGCUGAUACUUUUUAUGUAAUAGUCUUAGUUUUAGUCUUUUGCUGAUGCUUUUGAACAAGACUUCUCUUUUUGAACAAGAUGUUUUCGUUAUGGUGCUGAUCACCUCUUUGAGAAAGUCUAUGAUCCUUGAACAAGUUGUUCAAUUUGGUAUUAUUUUAAGUUCUUACUUAAUGGAAAUGAUGCCAAUUUGUGUAUAUUGGCUUGUUAAUAUAUUACAUAAAUUCCAGAUUAGCUUGUUAUUGUCACGUAUAAACAAUUUGUCUCACUAUGCUGUUGGUCAUCUUUUUGAUGUUAUUCUUAUUUUAUCCAAAUUGCCUUACUAUCAUUUUGCUGAAACAGAGCAAUUUUAUUACCAAAUUUUGUACAACAUACAAUGCAACAGCCAUUCAAAACCAUCUUCCACAUUAACAACCAGAAAUAAGGGCAGUAGUACAUAAUAUAAACACUCUAAAUCAGACCUACAAGUUAUAGAAUUGCACAUCAUCAUUUGCAAGAUCCAAAAGCAUGCUAUUUCUACGUUUACAAAUUCAGUCAAAUUUCUACCCCAUGAAAGAAACGAACCAUAGUCAGCAGCCCCUUUUUUGGUAACUCAUUCCAACCUUAGUAUCAACUUUCCUUCUCUUGCAUUUGCAUGUCCCCUAUUUUUCCCAGCAAUAGAUAUCAUAAGUAGCAUAGCCAAUAUCAGGAUACUACAAAUCAUAAUUUUUCCCUUCUUCGACUUUUUCGAAUUGUUUCCUCCAUUUUAUUUAUCCUUCUCAGCAAACCAGGUAUUAUGCUCCAUCCUCUUGCACAGAUUGGUUCAUCAAACUAUUCAAAAUAUUUGUACCUAUCCGGCCUCUAUAAAUACAACCACAUUCUUACAACAUCAGCAAAGUGAAUUUUCUGCACUUUACUUACAAAAAAUUAUAUUACGCGUAUCGACCAUCUUGGACAACCAUAGAAUCUUCUUCCAAGAUUAUCAUCCCGUCAACAAGUCGUCAAUUUUGGUCUUAAUCCACACCUACAGACAUGGCUACUGCUAUUGAAUGAAAUCAAUGAUUCUGAGCUUUGCGACCUCAUUUUAGAGCAAGUACCAAUUGUAGAUGUAGAUUUGUUGUUUGAUAUGGUGGAUUACUCCAUUAACUCUACUCCAUUUCUUAGUAGAUUGUAAAUCUAGAAGUUAGGGUUUAAGGAUGGAAAUUGAAAAUCGGUGUGAAAAGGGAAAAUUUAGAGAAGGAAAGCGACGAAGGUAAGAGAGAGUAAAAAUGGUGGGUUUUGUUUCGUUGGUUUUUACCGAUAUUUGGGUUUUUGUGUCCGUCCAAAUUGAGUAAUUUACCAUUUUUGGACUAAAUGUGGCCAAAAAUUGUUAAUUUAUGUACUAAAUGUGUUUUGUCGAAAAGUUAGGGGAUGAAACGCGUCUUUAACUCAAAAUUUAGGGAUGAAAAAUGGAUUUUUCCCCUUUUGCUAAAGUAGGAAUGCUGGUAUGGUUGAAGAGUGUAAAGUAAAAUUAAUCCUAAAGGUAUAAAUGGUAAUGAACAAAAUACAAAUCUUUUUGUGUUUAUUUUUUAACCUUUAUUAAGUCAUUUUCUUUAAUUUUGGUUUUUUCCCAAUAGAUAGUAAAAUACCACAUGGUUGUAAAAGGGACUUUAAUUUGUUUUGCAUUAUUAAUUGAAGCCCUUUUGAAAUGAUGUAGUAAUACAUUUUAACCUAGGUAUAAUGUAUCACAAAUAUGAAUUUUCUAAUGGAUUUAAAAUAUUUAGUUAUCGUACACAUUACACAUUAAUCCAUACAUGUAACUUAUGUCAAGCGUUAAACCAUUGGGUUUGUCCAAUAUCAAGGGAAAGGCUAUUAGUGUCUUUCUUGCUAUUAUGUUUAAGAUAUAAAUCCUGUACCUGAGGGUGAAAAGGAUGUGAGGAGGGAUAGAAGGAUUAAAAAAAAAAAAAUAAAAAAGUUAUGUCAAGAGUUAGAUGACAUUAUUUGAACUAUAAAUUUUUAAGUUGUACAUUGUUGACGUUUUUAUUUUGAUUUAGAGUUGAUGCAAUUAUACUGUGUUUGUAAUAGUCAAAAUCAAAUCAUAUCAAUUCAAUUUGAUCUGAAUUACUCAUUUCAAAAUCACAAAAUCUUGAAUUGCACAGCAUGACUUGAACUAAACUAAUAUGAUCAAUUCUAAACCAUCAAAAGAACUUUUGUAGUUACACUUGCAAUUGCAAGACACCGAAUCCCUUAUUGUUUGUGAGAUACAACUAUUCCAACCCCGAUUCCAUUAUGAUGAAUAUGUAUAGUUCACACAGCAAUCCCCAACAAAACCAAUUAAUUGUUACUAGAGGAAAGAGAGGGAGGAAGGGAAAAGAAAUAGAGGAGAAGGAGAAAAAAGAGAUGGGGAGGAGCGAGGAAAAGGAGAAGGAGGUAACGAAUAAUGGCAGGGAAAGAGGAGAAUGCAGGAGGAAAGGAGGAAUGAAAGAGGAUGAGAGGAAGAGGAAGGGGAAAGUGAGGUAAGGAAGGAAAAGGGAAGGGAGAAUGGAGAAGGAGGAGGGGGAGACGAGGGUGGUAGAGGGAGGUGGUGGUGGCAAAAGUGAGGAAGAGAGUGAUGGCAAGCGACAAAGUUAGGGGCAGCAGUGGUGGUAUUGGGGUAUGCGGCACAUGAAGGGUGACGGAAUAUUACAACUAUCCUUCGAGUACUUCCAAAUACACAAAGGGUAUGUUUGGUACCCCAUAGAAUUGGGGUUUAGAAUUGGAAUUGGAACCCCAAUUCUAAUUCUUGUGUUUGGAUGCUGCCUUUUCCAUAGAAUUAGCAUUGAAUUCUAAUUCCAAGAGGUUCCAAUUCCAUGAGUUGAAUUCUUUAUCAGACCAAAAGAAUUCUAAUUCCAAUUCCACAUCUAAACCCUCAAAACGGGUCUACACCCGGAUCCAACGUGGGUAAAAAAUAAAAAUCGGGUCAAGUUCAUUCGCGUCCCCUUCUCUAUCUAAUUAACCGCUUUUCCUCAGCACAAUUGCUCUGAUGUCCACUGCCGCUUCCACCUCAACCGUAACAUUUUGCCUCUUCCACUACCGUCUCCCCCAUUGCCCUUUGUUCCUCUGGCCAUCCCUCUACCCUUCACCACUCCUGCCACGCAUCUACCCAUCACCUCACCAAUCACAAGACUGCUCCGAGUGCUCUCUACUUACCCGUGCCUAAUUUUCUCGAACUAGGUUCUUCAGUCCAGAAGGUAACAACUAAAAGCUCUGCUCCGAGUGCUCUGCUCUGCUCCGCUCUGCUGUUGCCUUUUGGCCUUUGGGGGAACUUACAGCUUGCUAGUUGCCUCUGGUGGAUUUCAAUCUUUUUCUUUGCUUCUCCUCUCUGGUUGCUUCAAGGAUAAGCGAUUUGGAUCUUGGGCUUCUGGUUUUCUCACAGUAAGUUCAAAUGUUGUGUCUUUUCUUCUGCUUCGAUGUGAUUCUCGGAUUUUUUUAGCGUUUUAGUGAUUUUGCUGGCAUUAAUGUUUUAUGGGUUGUUCCUAAUUUAGCUACUUGUUAUAGGUUUUUGUAAUUCUGGACUAAAUUUAUGAUCUUUACUUGCUGUGGAUAUUUUAAAAACAAAAGGUGAAAAUGCUAUACAGUAGAAAAUUUCAACGGCAAGAUCCCUCUUUUCAGUUUGUUUGAGCUAUCCCCAAUAACAAGACAGAAACGAAACCAUAUCCAUUUUAUCUUUCAUAUCCAUUUCUGUUCAGGUGGACUUGUUCAAGUUUUAUUUGGCUCAUUUCUUGUCUUGUUCAUCAGAUAUCUAAUGACAAAAGAAGUUCCUUUGCACCUGUUUCUCUGGCUUAGUAUAUCUGAUGCUGUCUUCCAUACAAACAAAAUUUUGUUUUUGACUUCUUGAAAGUUGGGGUAAGAUGCAACUUUUGUAAAUAAACUAAUGGUUCUCCUCAGUUUAGGCUUAUUUUUUAGUUUCUCUAUACUUUGUGUGCACAUGUAUUUUGAAGCAGUAAUAAAUAGAUUGUUUGAAAGUUAUGAAUGAUUUGCAAUUCGUAAAGCACCGCUACAAGAUCUGUGAUGGAAUCCACUAAUGGCCGUUUAGCCAAACAGUGGUUUACUAUGUGAUUGGUGUAAACUAUAUUUUGCUUUAUGCUCAAAAGCUUUCAUUGUACCAGACAUUAGGCCCACCUCUUUUGGCUUUGCUUCUGAACCUCUGUUAAGAUUCACUUUAGCAUUUCAUUUGAUUGGUUACACAUCACGAAUUUCUCAUCGCAGAGAGACACUUUUUUACUGCAAAAUGGAAAUAAAGUGUUAUGAGAAAUGGUUAUAGUUAUACUGUGAGGCAGUAAGAUGGCUAAUCAAAAUGCUUAUGAAUUUAUUCUCAUGUAUGAGCUGGAAGAGAAACAAAUAUGUGUUGUUAUCCUAACACAGAGUAAUUACUUCUGCAGGCCAUUAGCAAUAGAUUUUUCGCAUAGAGGCCUUGGCAACUUUGUAUAAAUUCUCCUUCUGCUCUGUGUUAUGCAAUAUUGUUCACUAUAGUUGGUUUCUGUGUGUGUUAGCUGAGGUCUAUGCCACUCUCAGGAUCCGUUUGGUUCAAUGGAAAAACGUCUUGACACCCUCUCCUCACCUCAGGCAAAGGCAAUUACUGACACAAUCAUUCGUAAAUUUCAGAUGGAAGGUUAAGAUAUAUCAUCCCACAUAUUUUUAGUGCAACCGACAUUUAUUUCUUAGAAAUCUGAACCAGAAUGCUGUUACCACUUACCACAGAAGCAUUAAUGAAUUAGGGAAAUUUUUUUUUAAAGUCUAUUGUGGGACUAGCAUUCUUGAGAUGGUGAUUGAGAAUUGAGAGGCAAACAUGAUUGAUAUCCUAGGUUCGGUGGUGGACAAUCCGAAAUUGAAAGAAGGCUUGCGUGCUUUAGGGAAUAAACCUUUUCUUUUCUUUCUUUUCUGGCGAUGUCUUGGAGCAUAUAUAUCCACUUCCAUUUGCCAUUGCUCAAGAUUCAUUUGUCUGAAUUAUACUACUGGUUCAUUUGUCAUGAUUUUGAAUUGCAGAAUUUGGAUAUUGACAUGGAUAAAGAAGGAGAUGAGCAAAAGGCAAAAAAAAAAAAGUGGUAGUUACAAAUUAUAUGGUAACAGUAGCCACAUUAGUAGUCUGGUGGCAUGAGAAACAUAUAAUAAAGGAGCCUUAUUUUGAUUUUAAAGUAGCACGUGAAAUAUAUCUAAGGCGUCUUUACUAUGGAAACAACAGAGUUUGUGUAGAACAACUUCGACUCAAUAAACAUUGUUUUACUGUUUUAUGUACAAAUUUAAGAGAGCAUUGUAGUUUGAGAGAUACUAUAAAUAUUACAGUUGAAGAAGCAGUUGCAAUGUUUCUCUAUGUUCUUGCUCAUAACUUUAAGAAUCGCACUGUCAAUUUUAAUUUCAUAAGAUCAGGUGAGACAGUUAGUCGAUACUUUAAUAUAGUUCUACGUGCUAUCAUAAAACUGGGGAGACACUACCUUUUCCAGCCUGAAACGGAAAUGGAAGGUUACGAGCAUGAAAAGUGGGAAUGGUUCCAGGUAAUCAAUAUUUUUUGAUAUUUGUUAAUGAAGAUAAUAUUUACAAGAUUCAUCAACUUAUGAUAUGUUGUUUGUAAUACAGGAUUGUCUUGGAGCGUUAGACGGUACUUAUGUUAAAGUACAUGCUCUUCUUAGAGAUCAAGAAAGAUACAGGAAUAGGAAGAAUGAGAUAGCAACAAAUGUUUUAGGUGUUUGCUCCCGUGACAUGAGAUUUACAUAUGUAUUGCCUGGAUGGGAAGGUUCUGCAGCAGAUAGUAGAGUUCUACGUGAUGCAUUAGUUAGAUCAGAUCCAUUAAUUGUUCCAAGGGUAUGUGACAAUUAGAUUUAUUGAGUGUUUUUUUUUCUUUUAACUAUAAAUGAGUAACAAUUUGUUGUCCAACAUUACAGGCAAGUACUUUCUUGUUGAUGCGGGUUAUGCAAAUAGCCCCGGUUUCUUAGCUCCAUAUAGAGGCGUUAGAUAUCAUCUUAGUGAGUGGUCUGCUAGUGGGAACAAGCCUCAAAAUUUUAAAGAGUUAUUCAACCUUCGACAUUCAAUUGCUCGAAAUGUGAUUGAAAGGACAUUUGGUUUGUUCAAGAAGCGAUGGACCAUUUUGAGAGAUGCAUCUUUUUUUGAUGUUAAGACUCAUGUCAUGAUAAUUAAUUCAUGUGCCAUCCUUCAUAAUCUUAUUCAAGUAGAACAACCAAAUUAUCCUUAUUUGGAUGAAGUUGAUGCUGAGAUGCGAAGAGUACAGCAUGAGAUUGAUGAUGAAGAUGAGGAAGAUGGAAUGGAAGGUGAUGGUCCAAAUAAUGAUAGUGGCGUAAAUGCUAUUAAUGAUAAUCGAAUUCGAACAAUACAACCAACCAGGGAGUGGACACAAUUUAGGAAUGCUUUAGCACGAGAAGUAGCUCAAGCAAUCUAUACUUUUAGGAACCUAAGAUUAUUUGACUUUAGCUGUCUAUGCAAUUGAUGUUCGUACACCAUUGAAAUAAAUGCCUCAAGCAACCAAGUAUAUGCACAUUUUUGCAUAGAAAUUUUCUUUUUUUUAAUCACUAAUAUAAGCUAAAAUUACAUUUUUUGAAUUUUUAUGGUUCCAAUUAUUUCUUCAAAGAAUGAUGUUUUUCAAUUUAGUAAAAGAUCUUUCAAAAUUCUACUAUCUAAUAUAAGAUCGAUGCAAUUUUGCCUAAUAAAUAGAAGUGCAAAUGAGUCGAGUCGAACCGAAUCUCAAUUUAGUUUUUUUGUGAAUCUUGAACUCGAAUUCGAGUUCAUCGAACUCUCAAAAUAAAGUUCGAGUUCAAACUCGACUCAAAUUUGAGUCGAGCUUGAGCUUCAAAAAAUAAAAAAUAAUUAUUUUUUUUAUAAAAAAUGAAUAAAAUAAUUAUUUUUUCUUAACGAAUGAUAAAAUAUUAAGGAUAUAUAUGUAAUUUUACUAUUAAAAUAAAAGAUAAUAUAUAUACAUAUAUAUAUGAUUGAGUCAUCUCACGAAUUAACAAAUUAAGUAUUUUUGAACUCGAAUUUGAGAUAAAACAACGUAAAUUGAGAAAAAGUUAUAGGCAAACGAAAGAUGACAAGUUUUGGACACUAAGGGUGUGUUUGAUAAAAUUAAAAUAUGAAACUUAAAAUUUAAAUUUAUGUGAAAUUGAAAAAAAAAAGGUGUUAAACCAUCAAGCAUCCUCUUGCUUUGUUAAGCUUAAAUCUUCUUCUUCUUUUUUUUUUUUUUCAAUUUUGUUCCUUGUGGCAUGUAAACCUAAAUCCCUUUUUCAAUGCCUAAUUGAGGAUUGCGAAAUUAAGAAAAAAAGGAUAAAUUUUUUAUAUGUUAAUGAUUUUUUUACUCUAACAGUUUUGAUUGUAUAUCACAUAUAUAUGAUUUGAAUUUCAAAUUUGUAUUCAUAUUAUGUGGUAUGAUCUAAACCUGUUAGUGUAAAACAAAAUUAUACAUUGACAGGGUAUAAAAAGGUUAUAAAAAAAAGGAUGAUAUUCACAUACUCUUUUUAAUAUUUUACAAACCCUUUUCCCUUUUUAUUUAAUUAGCACAAAGUUUUUUUUUUAAUGAAAAUUGUGUGUAGAAGCAUUCCAAAUAGGAACGGUGAUAUAUUCAACUUCCACGUUGGGCCAUUCCUAUUGGAUCUCAUAAAAGUGAUAUAUUUCACUAGUAUAGCACCUGAUCUUUACCGAUUUGUUUCUCCAUUGACCACGUCAUUAUCUACAGCCAGAGCCCCAGAAUCAACGAGUCCUCACGCUCUAGAGCGUACACAAAUUAAUCCACUCGCUCUAUUCAGAGAACACGUGUCCAACAUUCUGCUCAGACGAUCUCGUGUCGGACAAAACAAGCGCGUGUACAAUCCUCCAUACUCGUGCAGAUAUUUCCUACCUAUCCUUUAUGGCGGGUCAUUUCUUUUCCUCUUUUUGAAAACUUCCGUGGCAUUUUUAGUAAAUAUCAUUGGUUCCAAGGGCAAUGUGAAGACCCAAAAAUGGAAAAAUGGAAUUUAGCCUUUCUCGCAAAUUUAGAUCUGAAUUACAUAGUCGGUUAAACAUGGAAAAAGUACGAAACCUGCUUCAAAUCUCAACCGUCCAUCUUCAGCAUCUCUCAAUCUUAACCGUUGAACUCUCAGGCCGAUUACUCGAUCUUUACUCUUUUCUGUUAAGACUCCAACAACCCAGAAGAGAUCUUGACCGUACGAUAUUUAAUCUAACGGAUAGAGUCCUCCCACGUGGUCAUAAAUUCCAGGUAAUUUUCAUUUUUUGCCGGUUAAAAUAAUAAAAAAACCCUAAACUCUCGUGACCCCAGACAAACCCUACGCAGCCCUUUCUCUCUCCCUUUUCUCUCUCUAGGAAAAUAAGAAAAAAGCGGAAAUUCAAAAAAAAAAUUUAUAUCCAAAAAAUCGUUUGAAUAAAUCGUUCAAAAUCAAUUUAGGGUUUCAAAUCAAAUUCUAUUAUCUUCCAAAAUUCUCCUAUUCGAACCGUACAAAAGCUUCUUCCGCAUGCUAUUCGCGAUCUCAUCUCUCCACUCGCCGUUUUUUCGAUAGAAUCGAGGUCAGGUACGGUACGUUUCCUUUGUUAAUGGGUUUUUCGGGGUUUUUAAAGAUAGUAUGAUCGGUUAAUUUUGAGAAUGAUUUGAUGUUUGGAUUAUGUUUUGAUUGUACUUUGAUUGAUUGGAUGAAUUAGUGCAUUUUUCGUAUUUUGGGGAAUUUUAUUUGUUGUUGAAAUGCGGGUUCUUUUUGGUCUUUUUAAUGUGGCAGAUCUGGAAAACUGAGAGUGAAUAUGAGGGAUGUGAAAAUUGAGGGUUUUGUAUUUAAGAGUUCGGAUUGAGGGGUUGUUGAUGGAAAAUAGCAUAGGAAAGAUUUCUGCUGCUGCUGGUGUUGAGAAUUCCAGGAAAACCAAAUCUUUGGAUCUCCAGAGUAUAUAUAAAUCUAGGGUCUCGAAUGACGGGCACUCUAAAAAAGGCAAAUAUCCGGUACAGAAUGGUGGUGAGGAUAGGGAUGAUAACAAGAAGAAGAAGAAGAAGAGGAAAAAGAUUGUAAAAGAGGUUGCUUUGGAUAGCCUUGAGCCUGUGGUGAAAAAGAGUAGGAAGAGUAUAGGUGAGGGGCGUGGGAAUGAUGCGCGAUCAGGUUCUGUUUCGGUUGAUUCUAGUCGUUCAUUAUCUGGUUUCAGUCACAAGAAUGGAUUGAAUGGGCUUUCUCUUAGUUUGGGUGGCUCUGGUAAUGUAAUUCAUAUUCCAAAGCGUCCAAGGGGUUCUGUUGGCCGGAAGAAGUUUGAAACUAAUGGGCCAGCUAACAUGUCGGGGCCAAGUGGUUCUGUUGAUAGGAUUGGUAACUCAAAUGGGGAGGCCAGGAAAGUUGAGUCAUCAGGGUCAUCUAGUGGUAAGGCAGGUUCUGCUGAUAAUGUUGCUAAGUUACCAAGUCGUUCUGGUGGUUCCAAGGUAAAACGGAAGAGGAAUGUUGAUGAAGUGAAGGAUGGUAGGAAUGGUAUAUCCACUUCAUCUCACCUUGCGAAAGAUGAAGGUGGUCAUGUUGUAAAUAAUGGUGAUAAAUCUUCCAAAAAACGUCGGAGCAAUCAUAGGAAGAGGAAGGAAUUGCGAUCAGGUGUUGAGACUGCUCAGAAGAAGGUUGAGCCUUCAGUGGAUAAUUCAAGCAGUGUUUUUGAUGACUUCCAAGAUGACGAUGAUGAUGAGGAGAAACUUGAACAGAAUGCUGCAAGGAUGCUUUCCUCUAGAUUUGAUCCUAGGUGCACAGGUUUUACUUCUAGAAUUAGAUCUUCCAGCAGUCCACCAGACAAUACCGUCUCUUUUUCCCAUUCUUCUCGUCGAGAUUUUGUUAGCAGAAGGGCAGACUCGUCGGCUAACCUGAAAACCAAAGAUGCUAGCAGAGUGCUGAGACCCAGAAAAGAGCUGAAGGAGAAGGGCCUUUCAAGGAAGCGUCGUCACUUUUAUGAAAUUGUUACCAGCAAUUUGGAUGCAUAUUGGUUUUUGAACCGGAGGAUCAAGGUAUACUGGCCAUUGGAUGAAAGUUGGUAUUAUGGGCGUGUAAAUGAUUAUGACCCUAAAAGAAAGCUUCAUCAUGUCGAGUACGAUGAUCGGGAUGAGGAGUGGAUUGAUCUUCACAACGAGAAAUUCAAGCUUUUGCUCCUCCCCAGUGAGGUUCCUGCCAAAAAUGACCGGACUAAAACUCCCAUGAUUGAUAAAUACAUAGAUAAAAGGAAAACAGAUAGUGAGGAUGAUGACAGCUUUGACGAGAACUAUCUGGACUCAGAACCUAUAAUAUCAUGGUUGUCACGAUCAUCUCAUAGAGUCAAAUCUUCUCCUGCUAGUCAUUUGAAAAAACAAAAAACAUUACAGUUUUCUAGCUCCAUGGUGCAACCUGUUGUGUCUGUUAAAACUGAUGAUACAGAGGCAGAUGUGGGAUCCUUGGCAGGAGAUGGAAAUAAAUCGGAUUCUGAUUCUACAUUGCCAGAGAAAUCUGCUGAUGGCGAAAGGGCAGAGACUUCGUUGUUGGGAAGUCCUAGUAGCUCCAAAGGUAGCCCAUGUGUUGUUUAUGUUAGGAGGCACUUGCGCAAGAACAGUGGAGGUUUCUCUCCUGCUUGCAGAAAUGAUAAAACACGUAGAAGUCCAUGCCCCACUUUUGCUCCUUUUGACUCAGCUGAGGACAAUUUGCACUCCUGGAAAUGGUAUGAUAAUUCUCUUGGAUGCUCUGGAAUUGACAAGCUUUUGUGGUCUAUCGAUGAUCAAGGCUUGCUCAGGUUGAGAGUUCCGUUUGGAGAAUCUGUCAGAUUCAGGUUGGAUGUGUCCUUGCCUGUCUUGCGAUUUCUGGAUUGCUCAUUUCUAGUGGAUCGUUUUGGGUUCUCUCAUGCUUUGGUGCCACCCAAUUAUGGUGGCAUCAUGACUACUUGGCCUGAGGUUGCUUUGGAGAUGCUUUUUGUUGACAAUUCAAUUGGACUGAGGUAUCUUCUGUUUGAGGGUUGCCUGAAACUUGCUCUCAAGUUAUUUUCGCUCGUCCUCACAGUAUUUAGUCAAUCUUCAGAAGAGUGGAAGUUCAUUGAUAUGCAAUUGCCAAUAACAUCAAUACGGUUUAAAUUUUCAUGCAUUCAAGAUCUCAGAAAGCAACAAGAGUUUGAAUUCUACAGCUUUUCAAAACUGAAACAGUCAAAGUGGCUUUAUCUGGAUUCUAUGCUUCAGCGGUAUUGUUUACUCAGCAAGCAGCUACCUGUUUCUGAGUGCACUUAUGAUAACAUAAAGACACUUGAAGGUGGAAGUUAUCAAUCAUGUACACCAUAUGUUGGUACGGGAUUCUUUCCACUAAAGGUCUGCUCUCCAUUUUUUCUCCUUACGCUACUUUCAUUCAUUUUAUCUUUUUGAUAAUUAGUAGAUAUGCCAUUCACAGUUUCCUUUGGCCGAUGGUUGAGUUUCCACUUAAUGUCUUUAAAAUUGUAGCACUUAUGACUCUAUAUUUGCCUUUUUUUUUUGCAUAAUGUUUGAUUUGCAGUGAAUCGAAGUAGAUAGCAAGAAACUGUCGUGCUUUGUGCCAUGAAUUUUUUGUCUCUAGACAAUAAGUAUGAUAAUUGCAGUUGGACCGUGUACUUGGUUCUGUUUUGCAAUCCCCCGGGGCCUUAUUGAUUUUCCAUUUUUCUGUUUGCAGAAGAGGCUUGUGCACAGCAUUUUACCAGUUGGUGUUUCAAGAGAAUCUUCCAGCAAGAGGACGAGUUCAUUUGCAUUUAAUUCUGCUAUUAAGCUUGGGAAAAUUCCUGCAUUUGCUCUUUCAUUUACUGCAGCGCCAACUUUCUUUCUUAGUCUGCAUCUGAAGCUGCUCAUGGAGCAAAACUUUUCCAGCAUCAACUUUCAGGACAAUGCUUCGCUGUCUGCUAUUGGAGAUUCAGAAGUUGAUGUCCAGUCAACUGCUAUACUCCAUCCGGACAUUGAUCCUUGCCCUGAAAAUGUCAUAGGUAAAAUUCCUGGGUGUGAUAAGCAAACUUCUUUGGCAGAUGCUGGCUCUCAAUUUUUGAGCUCUGCUGAACCUUGUUCAGGAAAAGAUGUCAGCUCUGAAGUGAGUGAUGUUGACAGAGGAAAAUCAGCUUCAAAUGGAAAACAAGACAUGACUCCGGGUCCCUCAAUUUCCAAAGAUUUUGAUAUGCUUGAAACUGAUAGAGUUGUCAACCCUAGCAAUCAUGAGUCCCACAAUCAAGAGUUGGAGCAGAAUGUUGCAUCUUCAGAUCUUUCUGUUUCAAGAACUGUUGCACCUACAGGCUUGUCUAAUACAACCGGCUUUUCUAGUUUGGGUGGUCUGAGUAUUGAACUUCCUUCUUCUGAUCAAAAUGACAAGCCUUUGGAUCAGGGAGUCAAUAUUUCUGGACAGGUUUCUGAUUUGGCUGGGAAUAUGAGUGAUGGUGUGUUACAGAGUCCCUGCACAAGUGGUCUUAGAAGUUCGUUGCGGCGUGAUAGAAAUUGCUCAAACAAUUCUCCCUUUGGGGAUCAUUCUCCGGUAUGGCCUCAUGGGAAGUCAAAUUUUAUAAGCAAUGGCUUUGGCAAUGGGCCUAAGAAGCCUCGGACUCAGGUGCAGUACACUUUGCCUCCAGGAGUUUAUGAUUCUAGUUCAAGGUACCAAAGCCAGAGCCAGAAAUCUUUUCCUUACAAACGAAUUCGGAGAUCCAACGAGAAAAGGGUUUCUGAUGGUUCAAGGAGUUCUCAGAAAAACCUGGAAUUGCUAUCUUGCGAUGCAAAUAUUCUUGUUACUGUCAGGGACAAAGGAUGGAGAGAAUGUGGUGCACGUAUCAUUUUGGAACUCACAGACCAAAAUGAAUGGAAACUAGCUGUCAAAGUGUCUGGUGUUACAAGAUAUUCUUACAAAGUUAAUCAUAUUUUGCAGCCUGGGUCAACAAAUCGCUUCACGCAUGCCAUGAUGUGGAAAGGUGGAAAAGAUUGGGUAUUAGAGUUUCCUGACAGGAGCCAGUGGACUAUUUUCAAGGAGAUGCACGAAGAAUGCCAUAAUCGUAAUAUUCGUGCAGCUUCUGUGAAAAACAUCCCCAUUCCUGGAGUACGCCUGAUAGAGGAAAGCGACGACUACGUGUCAGAUGUUCUGCCCAUCCGCAAUUCACCAAAGUACACAAGGCAAGCUCAGAGUGAUGUUGACAUGGCUAUGGAUCCUUUGCAUGUGCUGUACGACAUGGAUAGUGAUGAUGAGGAAUGGAUUUUGAAGAAUGGUAAAAUUCUAUUCGCUGAUGAGAAUAAGCCUAAAGAGGUAUCAUUUGAGUUGUUUGAGAAGAUUGUAGAUGUGCUUGAGAAGUUCGCCUAUUCUCAACAGUGUGAUCAGUUCACAGUUUCCGAAUUAGAAGAGUUUAUGGUUGGGAUCGGUUCCAUGCAAUUAGUUAAAGGCAUUUAUGAGCAUUGGUGGCAGAAGAGGCAGAGAAAAGGCAUGGCGUUAAUUCGCCAUCUCCAGGUAUCAUAACUUCUUCUCCUCCUCUCACCCCACAAAAAAAAAAAACCCAAAAAAAAAAGGAAAAAAAAAAGAAAUGGCUGAUUUUUUGUUUGAGUACCUUAGUGGUAAUCCAUAAAUGUGUAGUUGCAUACUGUUUGCUAUAUUUAACGUUUAGUUCCAAGUGAAAAGAAUUAUCAUUUAUGCUUGGGAACAUGAUCCUGGCCUUCUUGUUUCCUCCCCUUCCUCUAUAUAGUAGUUUUCUCUGGGGGAAUGAACAGUCAAUUGCUCGGUGAAAAUACUUCUGUUUUCUAGUACAAGUUGUUCAUUUAGCUUUACGCUUGGAAACUAGCAAAUUGCCUUUCCCUAGGUUGUGUUGUCUGCUAAGUUGUGCUUCACUUUAGUCUCUUUUGAAGACGUGGAUGAUGCAUUUAACUGUUUUGAAUUCAAUUAUUUGCUUUAUUUGUUUUAAUUUGGUUGAGCUAGUUUGGGAUUCCAGUUUACCAUGGAUUUUUGUACAGGAAACAGUAUGUUUACUUUGUUGAACUAGUUUUCUGAAAGUAGCUGUGAAAAUUUUUGGUAGCAAUAGGAGAAAAAGAGUGCAAGUAGGGUAUAUGGUACAUAUGUGUGUAUGUUCCAAAUGAAAAUUAUGGUGAUUUUUCUUGGUUGAGAUUAUCAAGUAAUAUUGGUGCAUUCUGAUAUGUCUUUGUAUUUUGAUGAGAUAAAAGCAAUUUAAUUUUAUUUCAUGGAUCAUGCUAUAUGUGUGUGUGUGUGUGUCUGAAAAUGCAUAGGAGCUGAUGUGUUUGGGGAUGGGGGUGGGGAAGGGAAAGAGACAGAACAAGUAGAAUGGAAAGCUAAGUCAUGCAUACUUGUUUCAACCAACAUGAAACUUUGCACUCUUUUGUCCUCCUGUUCUCAUUCUCGUGUUCAUUAAGUUGGAGUUGUUUGAAACUUCAGAUAGGUGUUGGACGCAGAUCCCUUACCACUACCAGUGUCAUAUUGUCUUAGUCACAAAUAUUAUCCCCUUGUACAUUUUGAGUAGCUUGACCAUUUUCCUAAAAGUGUGAGCUUUUCAUGCUUAAACUGAUGUGACCUUCUGAUCUUGUUCCACAUGGGGGCUUCUUUUGUUGGUGGUCUCUAGUGUAUUAAGUUUGUCAAAAGAAUAUACUGGCAAAUGAAUAAAAGUCUUGCUGCUGCUUGUUUUUGGUGACUCAGAAAAUUUGAUAUGGUCAGGCCUUAGGAAUUUUGCACCUGUCGAGCUAUAGCUUUCCUACUCUUGAGUAUUAAACCAUAUGUUGAAGCAAGACUGCUCAUAUUUUAAUGUGCCUUGCACACUGGACCUUUUAUGGUCUUCCUAUCUAAUAUGUUUUUAGAAGUUCUUGCCAGCUUAUUACUUUCCUGAAAAGAUAGUUUUAGUAGCUUCAGCAGGCAUGGCUAUAUGUUUUUUGGGAAAACUUCCUUGUGUUGUGAAAUUAUAAGCAAUAUUGGUUUAUGCCAGUGCUUUACACGUAUCAAGCUAAAUCCAAUUCAUUGUAAUACAUUGCUAUUAAUUUUGUUGACUUGAAUGGAUUGCUUUUAUGUCAUGUUGUUUGUGAUGAUGCUUGAACUAUUGAGCAUCAUAUGUUGCAUUGAAAAUUUUGCUGAAUUUCAAAGCUAUUCUCUCGUUCAAAUUCCUUUUGAUUCUAAAUUAAAAUUGUGUUUUCUCAGCCUCCUCUGUGGGAAAGAUAUCAGCAUCAAGUAAAGGAAUGGGAACAAGCUGUGGCCAAGGCCACUGCUGUGUCAACCGUUGGAUGCAAAGAAAAGAUUUUGUUGAACGAAAGGCCACCCAUGUUCGCUUUUUGUCUAAAACCUCGAGGACUGGAAAUUCCUAAUAAGGGUUCCAAGCAACGAUCUCACAGAAGGUUUCCUGUUUCAGGACACAGCCAGGCCGUCUUAGGGGAUCAGGAGGGGUCUCAUACAUUUGGUACAUAGUUAAUCCUUUUGCAUGCAAUUAGGCCCCAUUUUUUUUUUUUUGAGGCCACUGAAUUUCCUUUACAGUGUGUUUGGUUCUUUGCUUUUUUUUUUUUUUGGAUGUGGGUUGGCAGAGGAACAUUGAUUUUUCAUCUUUUAUCAUUGCAGGAAGAAGAUUAAAUGGUAUUUCUGUUGGAGAGGAGAAGAGUGUAUUGUCAGGCAACAGCUAUGAGUUUUCAGAUUCUUCACCAUCACUGCAGGCCUCAGCAAGGGUAUUUUCACCUCGGGAUGCUGGUGGGCUUGGCUUUUUCUCAUUGACCAGUGAUGUGCCUGAGUGGAAUCAGUACUCAAAAUACCAUAGAUACAAGCCAAAGAAUGGGGCAUUUCCAUCCCCAAGUAGUUCGCAAUUUCAAUAUCCUCAGAGAACUAUAGGAAUGAGAAAUGGUGCUCACAGAUGGAAUAUGGAAUUACCUGAGUGGCCAAGUCAAAAACAUCAUAUUUAUGAAGGAUCUCAGAGGCAUGCCUUGGAGCAGUUGGAUGGUUCAGAUUUUCCUGAGUUCAAAUUGCGUGAUGCAUCAGGUGCUGCUAAGCAUGCGCUAAACAUGGCUAAACUGAAAAGGCAAAGGGCUCAAAGACUGCUCUACAGAGCAGAUUUAGCAAUUCACAAAGCUGUGGUGGCUCUCAUGACAGCUGAGGCAAAAAAAACUGCUUUCGACAGCUCUAAGGGUGGUGAUUAGGAUGACCUUCUGGUUGCGACAAGUAAUGAAAUUGCACAGUGCUUUCAGCUUAUAGGCAGAUGUGGAGUUCAUAUUGCUGAAGUUAUUAUGCCAGAAUGGCGCUGAUAUGACUUUUCUCAAUGAUACUCUUGACUUCCUUUAGAAUUGUUUGAGGUAAAUUUGACCCCGUGCAAAGACCAUUUAUGCACACUG
This 62790-nucleotide long non-coding RNA is filed under the name Coffea arabica (coffee). RNAcentral describes it as "long non-coding RNA (CARA_LNC006059)". The record is from RNAcentral. Lineage: Eukaryota; Viridiplantae; Streptophyta; Magnoliopsida; Gentianales; Rubiaceae.